AUGACUCAAGUCAAGCUUGCUGCUUCGCUUAGUGCCUCGUUGGUAUGGCUAACCGGUGGCUUAGGUGUGGUCCACCUACUCAUCAAAGAAACCAUCCCGUCUUGGUUUCUAUCAACUGACAAAUCAGACCGAGAACAAAGACCAUCAGAUCUAGUUGCAGAGCUAAGAGGUCAUGCCCUUGCCUACUUUGUAGUCCUAUGUGGAGCAUUUGCUUGGGGGGUGGACUCAAGAUCAACUGCAUCAAAACGCCGCCGCCAAGCAAUCUUGGGAAGCCACUUGCAGUUCAUCGCGAGUGUCUUAGACGGGAAAAUAUCAGUGGGAUGCGAAACAGCAACUUGGCGGGCAUAUAUUUCCGGUUUGGUGAGUCUAAUGGUGAGCUGUUUGCCUCUCUGGGUGACAGAGAUCGAUACAGAAGUGUUAAAGAGUGUAAGCAGUGGACUAAGAAAAUGGGGAAAAGAAGAGCUAGCGAUUGUAUUACUCUCCUUGGGAGGUCUCAGAACAAUGGACUACGCAGCUGAUUUCAUCAUUCAUUUGCGUUCAUAGCUUCUUAAAAAGUUUUGAUCUCUCCAGUUUUUUUCAGAUAGAUGCUUGAUAGAUGUGUUUCUUGUAGUGAAUUUGCUUCCUUGUUGUGACUUGUGUUCUCUAGCUCCAGUGUUGUGUGAUAAAUCUAUCACGCUAUAUGUAUGUAUAGAGAGAACCAGAAGAAAAGAAAAAAUAAAAAAAAAAGACUAAUCUUAAAAAGAAACUAUUAGUGUACUAUUUGUAACCGUUAGAUGGAUUGGUGUACUAUUUUUAUAACCGUUAGAUGAUUCGAGAAUAUUCUCAAUUUAUUUAAUUGGUCACACAACAAAUAAAAAGCAAACGAAUGAUUGAGUUUGGUUUGGUUUGGUUUCUUUGUCUCAUCUCUCUGUUUUUCUGAAGAACUAACACAUGUCGGGACCUCAGUGCUGCGAAAACCCGCCGACUCUGAACCCGGUUUCCGGGUCGGGUCAUGUCGAGAAGCUGGGUGGGCUUGAUGCCUACGUCUCCGGCUCUCCCGAUUCCAAGCUCUGCGUCCUCCUCAUUUCUGAUGUAUUCGGUAAUAUACUCUUCUUCUUCGUUGCUCUGAUUUGACUUUCUUUGUUUUAGUUGAACACAUGAUCGGAGUAAUUAGGGUUUUUGGAUCCCUUUUGUUGAUCUCAUCAUUGUUGAUUCUGACUUUUUGGUACGUUUUUGUUCUUCAGGUUAUGAAGCUCCAAACUUGAGGUACUCCUACUAAUUCUCCCCUCUUCAUCGAUUCAACCAUUGAAGAUUGAAUCUUUUUAAUUUGGGUUUGUUGCUUUGAAGGAAUUAGAUAGUUUUUUAGUGGUCACAUAUGAGUUUUAGUCUCAAUGCUGCAAUAGUUGUUUCUGGUCUAGUUAGAUAUGUGUCUACAAAUAGUUUUGUUGGUUUUGGAUUAUGUACAAGAUACUUCUUACUUAAUAUGAGGAAGGGGUUAAAUCACUAGCAAUAGGGCGCGUUGCAUCUCCUGGAUGAAGCAUACCUAUCGUGUGUCUUUAAGUUGACUUAUUUUUUCUGAUCUCAUUUGAUAAGAUCUAGAUGUUUGAUUUGAAUCAUUGCUUUAAUUUUAUGUCUUAAGGGCGCUUGCGGAUAAGGUUGCAGCUUCUGGAUUCUAUGUUGUGGUUCCUGAUUACUUUGGUGGAGAUCCUUUUGAUCCCUCUAACCAGGACAGACCCAUCGCUGUCUGGAUCAAAGACCAUGGCUGGGUUCGUUCCUUCUCCUCUCCUCCUUAUCAUAAUUGUCCUAUGCAUUCUCAAUUUCUUUUCCAGUUUUGUUAACAAGAACACAUACACUGAGUUGAUAGAAUCCAUCUGAAUCAGUUCAUAUUCUCUUUUGUUUUUCAGGAUAAGGGCUUCGACAACACCAAACCAGUACUUGAAGCUAUAAAGAACAAAGGCAUAACUGCCAUUGGAGCUGCAGGGAUGUGUUGGGGUGGUGAGUUGUUGUUAGAAAUCUAGCCUAAGAUUUGUUAGUAAAAGAUCUGGAAAAUGUCUAAUGGAUAUUACUUUUCUCUCUUGUGUUAUUAAUCUUCAGCUAAGGUAGUGGUGGAACUGUCUAAAGAAGAACUUAUUCAAGCAGCUGUUUUGCUUCAUCCUUCUUUUGUCACAGUUGAUGAUAUCAAGGGUAAGUGACUUUGGUACUACCAUCUUGAUUGCACACAUAAAACCAAGAAACACUAGUUGUCACGCCUCACCUCUAAUGCUUUGUAACAUUUACAGUCACCUAUAAGAUUGCGUAACUGAUCUCGCCAAGAUUAGAUACCAUCAUUGUGGCUAUCAUUGUUACAGUAAAGAAUACUAAUUCACAUUUACAUACAUAAAAGCACUGUGAUUGGUCCGGUUGCUCUCAUUUCACCGGUUUUUGAUGAUCCUUAUCAAUUUCACGGGUUUUCUGCAGCUGGGAAGGCUCCAAUUGCUAUAUUAGGAGCUGAGAUUGAUCAAAUGUCCCCACCAGCACUUUUGAAGCAAUUUGAGGAGAUUCUAGCUUCCAAACCCGAGGUAAGCUGCUUCUACACCGCAACUCAAUAGGCUAAUCGCCUUUAUCUAACUUUAAACGGAUUCUGUAGGUGAAUAGUUACGUGAAGAUAUACCUGAAAGUGUCACACGGUUGGACAGUUAGAUACAGCAUCGAUGAUCCAGAGGCGGUUAAAGCUGCAGAAGAAGCUCACAAAGAGAUGCUUGAUUGGUUUGCGACAUACGUCAAAUGAUUUGAGAAAGAAAAGCUUUGUAUUAUUAUUCAUAACUUCAUAUAUGCAAAGAAUAAAAAUGAAAGAGAGACAAAGCAAAACUCUUGGUUUGUAUUUCAGUUUCUACGUUUGAAGCAUUCUGUGAGAUUCUGUGAUAAUCAUCGUUUUAUGAUUUUUAUAUGUUGGCAAAACUUUGUGCCCUUCUCAUCAUCUUUAUUUGGUUAGCAGAAAAGUUACCAAAACAUUACUUUGAUCGAAAUCAACGUCUUCUUCUAUUGAAAAAUUGAAAAAGAAAUAAUUAUUAAUUCUUGAUUCCUGCAUUGUUGUUGGUAAUUUAAAACUCAAAAAUUAUGCAUUCGUUCAAAUUAUAUAAAAAAUUGAUUCAUAUAUGAUUUAAAAUAUUGCUUAAAAAACUUUCAAAAACAGAAAGAUUCACUCACUAGGAUCUUUAAAGAAAUAAAGCACAAUUCAUAAUCAAUAUAGAUUUCUCCAUAAUUAAAUUUGUGUUACAAUCAAUAAAAAAAAUUAUGUAAAAAAAAAAAAAAACUGCCAAAUAUCUCCAAAAUCGAAUUUGUUAAAAAAUAAUAAAAUAUAAUAAACUAAUAAAUCUAUUUUUCUAAUUUCAAGGAGAAGGAAACAAACCUUCAUAAACUCCUCCUCUACCGUCUCUCUAUAAAUAAACGAGAAGUUCACAAAAUCCACUCUAAUAACUAUGAAAAAAUUAGGGUUUUAAAUUUCCUAAAUCUCUCCGUAACCAUCGAUCAAAACGAUGCUCGAGUGUGAAUCAAUGAUGGAGAAAUUAUCACCGUUCAUGGACAUCGCCUCUUUGGAAAUCGAGUCUCUACGAAGAAUCAAACGCCCGAAACGCUUCUCUGAAGAAUCAGAAACCGAGACGAUGACUUCAUCAAACGCGGUUUUCGGAUUCCCUCACUUACCAGAAGAACCAAAUCGCGAUUUGGAUCAAAGCGUUUUGUGUAGAAUCCGCGUUCGAUUACCAGAUGGGAGAAGAAUACAGAGGAGUUUCUUAAAGAGUGAAUCUGUUCAGCUUCUUUGGUCGUUUUGUUAUUCGCAGAUUGAUGAAUCUGAGAGAAAGCGUUUUAAAUUGAUUCAAGCGUUUCCUGGGGAAUAUAAGAAUCUUUAUUUUGGAUCUAAUACGACUUUUGAAGAAUCUGGGCUUGCGAAUUCUUUGGUUUCGGUUACUUGGGUCUGAAGAAGGUCUUUGUUUUUUUUUUGGAUUUGUGUAAUUAGAAAAAAAAAAAUUGUAGCGAUUUCUGCUUUUGUUUAUGUUUACUCAAUUUCUUGAAUUUGUAGUUGGAAAAUUGCAAAUUUUUAUGAGAAAGAUUGGUUUCUUGAUUAGUUUCUUGAAUCGUUGUUAGAUAUUUCCGAUCAAAUCGCUUUUAGAUAACACUGCUUUAAAGUCAAGGUUAUACAAGAGGACGUAUAGUUUUGGUUAUCUUGUUGCUUCUUAAGUCACGUUUCCACAUGAAUCUGCUACUAAAUUUUGAGGUGAUAUAGCAAAUCGAGCCCAUAAGCCCAAAUUCUAAACAAGCGUAAGACAACAUCAAGUGAGCAAGUAGUACUCCAUGUUCUUGCAUAUUUUUGACAGUGGGCAAGAAAUCCGUAGCCGAAUAAACCAAACCGUACCAAAUUGGAAUAGUUAAAAUGAAACCGAGAAACUCGCCGAUACCCAAAACCGGGUCUAUAGAAAGCCAUUCAACUAAUACUAGCUCUAGACCCGGUUUUGGGUAAAAGCAACCCAUGUAUACGGCCUUGAAUAUAGACUGAUUAGUGGAGUUGGUCAUUUGUCUUCAUUUUACCAUUUUUUUUUCUUUUUAAAUCACUAAUUACUAAACCCUCUAAAAAAUUUUGUAGCCCAUAAGUUUUCUGGACCGGCUCUAAGUAGACAGUCCAUAGAACUUUUGCUAUGGCUACAACCGAGCUGACAUGUAUAUCAUUCAAUCUACAUAACCUUGGUAUAGGUCAAGAGAAACAAUAAAUUCUUCUUUACGACAAUUUGUCAACAAUACACCUAACUACAAAUCCAAUGCUCUACCAUUAUCUAAACACAUUGAAGUAGAUUACCACUACGUCAUAUAACAAACACUUCUUAACAACAACAACAUUUUAGUCCAAGUACGUAUUUUUUUUUACUAAUAUAUAGAUGGCCUGAUAGCAAACCAAGCCCACAAGCCCAAAUUCCAAACAUGCCCAUGACAACAUUCAUGUAUGCAGAACUAAGAUAAUAAAUUUCCCUGUUAGAAAGGAAAUAUUACGAUUUGGCCCUCCUUUGAACAAAUCUUCCCUCUCCGGAUUUUUAACCCAAAAAAACUGGAGAACCAUGCAGUUGCGAUUUCCUCUUUAACCCAUUUCAAAGAUUCGUUUUUUUUUUUUUUGUAAAUUUCUUUCUCUUCUUUUGGCGAAUUCGUGUUCCUUCUUUCUCAAUGUAAGCGAAUCCAUCUUUUGAUUCAUUGUUCCAUUGUUGUAAUCGUAAUUCUUGAUUCGCCAUUGUUCGUUUUUAAGAUCAUUCAUCACAAUUUUUAAAUUCGAUUCUUCCGGUUCCAUUAUUUCGGAACCCAAUUCGGGUGACCUAGAUUUUGAUUUUGAUUCUUGCUAUGAUCAUGAUCUUGAUAUAUAAAGUCUAUUUUUUUUUUUUUGUUUCUGAUUUGGUGAAUCAGGAGUUCUAGAGACAGAGGAUCACCUUCUUCUUCUUCGUCGUCUUCUUCGUUACCAGGAAUAGAUAAGUAUAACGAAAAGGUGAAAAAUCAGAUACAAGCACUUGUUCGUGUUAUUAAAGUUGCUCGUACCUAUAGAGACGACAAUGUCCCUUCCUUUAUUGAACAGGUUACUACUUACUACUACUCAUAGUUUUCUUGUUUCUUCUCUGGAACUACCAACCAAUGAUUGAUUCGUUAUCAAAGAUCAAAGCUUUUCUUGAAUUUGACUUUCAGGGUCUUUAUCUUGGAUCUGUUGCUGCAGCUUGUAACAAGAAUGUUUUGAAAUCUUACAAUGUUACACAUAUCUUGACUGUUGCUAGUUCUUUGAGACCAGCUCAUCCUGAUGACUUUGUUUACAAGGUUGUUCGAGGUAUAAACAUAUUAAAGGUUUUACCUUUUUUAUACUUUUUUUGUGCCUUUUUGUGAUGGAAUGGCUUACCUGCUUGUUUGUUUGUGUAAUAGUUGUGGAUAAGGAAGACACAAAUUUGGAAAUGUACUUUGAUGAGUGUGUUGAUUUCAUUGAUGAAGCCAAGAGACAAGGCGGUAGUGUUCUUGUUCAUUGCUUUGUUGGCAAAUCACGGAGGUCGGUUUUUGUGUUGAUGCUGGAUAGGAUUCAAUACUAAGUACAUAUGUCAAAGUGAUUUGGUAACCCAAUUUAGCCUGUGUUUUGCCCCUUUUACUUGCAGUGUCACUAUAGUUGUUGCUUACCUCAUGAAGAAACAUGGAAUGACCUUAUCCCAAGCAUUGCAACAUGUAAAGAGCAAAAGACCUGUGGCAAGUCCUAAUGCCGGUUUCAUCAGACAAUUACAAGACCUCGAGAAGUCUAUGCAAGGUAUGUAUUGUCAACUCAUAUGCAAACUUACUAUAACAUCUUGUGGUCUUGACUAUUAGGAUCUUUCGAGCUCUGUGGUGAAUCUGAGUUAGAGAUUCUUUACUUUUGUCUGUCUGAUUCAAUAGUGAGUGACCAGAGUUUUCCCAAUUGAGGAUGAAAAGCAAGUGGUUGUGGAGGACAAGACGGUUCCAUGUAAAUUACACUUACCUGCAUCUUCUUCUUCUCUCUAAAACAGGGAAGCAAGAACCGAUUGCACAAUGCCAGGCGUGAAGAUCGAUCGUAUCUUUGGGAGAAACUUGUAAAUCUCACAAGAAGCAUCAAAUGUUUUGUUGUUUCUCCUUAACAACUCAAAUAAAAAAACAUGGAAACGAAUAAGGAAUAUAAGUUCUUAUGUUCAUGUUCUUGAUUCAUUUAUGUGUAAAAGUUUCAUGAAUGUAAAAAGUGAACAUAAAUAAAAAUCUGUUAAUUUUUUGUAAAGAAAUGUCCUUUUUGCGCCGUCAUUGCUUAAUUUGAGCCCGUAGAGACUAAACAGUUAAUGGACCUUGUGAAACAUUGGGUUUUAUAAUGAAUAAAAAAACUAAUCGGGGUGAUUUAGGAUAAAGUUAUAAAUUUAGGGGCCAUAUUAGAAUUCUCCUAAAGUUGCUUCCAAUUGUGAGGCACACUAAAACCCUAGACUCCAUAUUAUGGAAAACCUCUCUUCUUCUUCCUCUCUUCUUUCGGAGCCGUCGCUUGUAAAAAUUUCCGGCGAUUGAUCAGUCAUGAUGGAAAUACGAACUCCGAAGACUGGCAAAGCCAAACGUGUACUCGAAAACCGAGCUCCUAAGUUGGUAAAGUUCUCUUCUUUCUCUGCGUUUGAAUCCUUGUUUCGUCCCUCUGAGACCGAGAAGUGUCUUAAAUGUUGUUGGUCUGUCUAUGAGACUCAUGGGUUUUCUAUUUCUAGGUGAAUUUAUGAAAGAAUCGCUAGAAAGUUGCAGACUUUGUAUCUGAAUUGGUGGUUUUAAAAUUUCUUCUUAAUCUUGGGAUUUGUAGGUUGAAACUGGGAAGAAGACAUUGAUACUUCAUGGAACAAAGACGAGUGCUACACUUAGCUCUGUGUUGAUGGAACUGUACCGUUUGAAGAAGGGAGGUGCCAUUAGAUAUUCAAGAAGGAAUGAGAAUAUUAGGCCUUUUGAGAGUGGUGGUGAAACUUCAUUAGAGUUCUUCUCUCAGAAAACUGAUUGUAGCAUUUUUGUGGUAAGUUUUUCUUCGAUACUCGUGUUGUGGCAAACUGAGAUCUCUGUAUAGGUUUUGAUUUGUUAUGUCGAUGAUUUUGAUUAUCCUCUUAACUUAACUAGGAAUGGCUAGUUUUUCAAGUAAUCAGAUAGAUGCUUGAUUGUCUUAGAGCAAGUUGCUAAGAUGAUGUGUCCUGUGAUUAUCUUUGGCUUGAUUAGUCUUUGUGUUAUGGUGGAAAUUGGUAGAACUUAAACUUGUUCUAUUAUUUGCUAAUUUAAUCACAUGUCUAAAGAAUUCAUUUGGAAUUGGAUAUUAGCAAACUUACUUUGAUGUGAGUUCUAACGUUGGUGAAUGUUUUUAUAUUGCAGUAUGGUUCUCACACGAAGAAACGACCUGACAAUCUUGUACUUGGGAGAAUGUAUGAUCACCAGGUCUAUGAUCUUAUAGAAGUUGGGAUUGAGAACUUUAAAACCUUGCUGGCGUUUUCGUAUGACAAGAAAUUUGCACCUCAUGAAGGAUCAAAGCCUUUCAUUUGCUUUACUGGAGAAGGUUUUGAGAAUGUACCAGAGCUUAAGCAUCUAAAAGAAGUCCUCACUGAUCUGUUUCGUGGCGAGGUGAAGUGUUUGAUUCUUUUGACCUACCUUUGCAGCUAAUUCCGUAACCAACAUCAAGGAAUUGAAUUUCAGUUUUAUGGUUCUUAUCCUGAUUAUUUAUGGAUUUGGCUUAAAAUAGAAUUUUAUUUGUCUGCAGGUUGUGGAUAAUCUAAAUCUUACUGGACUAGACCGAGCUUACGUAUGUUCGGCUAUAUCCCCAACUAAGGUUUUCCUUACUCAUUGCGCAUUGAAGCUUAAAAAGUCAGGCUCCAUUGUUCCUAGAAUGGAGCUUGUUGAAGUCGGUCCAUCCAUGGACUUGGUUAUCAGGCGUAAUCGUCUUCCUAACGAAAGCUUAAUGAAAGAAGCAAUGAGAACAUCCAAGGAUAAGCCUAAGAAGAAGGUAAUAAUAAAACAUUAAAAAUUCUAAGCUUUGUCUCAUGUUUCCUUAAAAUCAAAAGAAACCGAUGAUCAAUCAAUCAAUCUCUUUUUCUACAGGUGAAAAACGUUGAUCAAGAUGCAGUACUAGGGAAGACUGGGAAGAUUUACAUGCCUGAUCAGAAGGUAAGAACGAAAGCAAACACCAAUAUUCGAUUCUGGAGAUUGUUAUUAAUACCCUAAACUAACUGAUUGCUUCGAUCUUUGUGCAGCUGGGCGAUAUGAAAUUACUCGAUAAAUCCAAGGGAUUGAAGAGAGAGCGGAAAGAGGCUAAGCUUAAGCAUAAGGAAGAGACUGUUUCCAAAAAGAUGAAAGAGUCUUCUGAGUGACUCACCAAACCACUCUUGGCUCUUCUGCAUCAACAGUUUUCAAUAUGAGGAAGAUGAAGAUUUUGUAGUGAGAAUGGGCAUGGCUUUUAUUUUUCCAUUAGAAUCUAUAACUGAAUGUUUUUUAUACGCUAAUAUUUUAUUAAGUUGAUUUUGUUUUGUUAAAUUUCUGCAGCAAGAAAAAAAUUGUGAAAGAAAAAAGAGUUACGAGAUGAGAUAAAAUCAAAAGUGAAUUUGCUCUAUAACCGAUAAAUAAAUUAAGAAUAUAGUAUAUUAAUUUGAAAAAUUAAGUAACUAACAUGAAUGAAUUGUGAAAUGACUAAAAUCGAGUUAUUGAGGGUACGUGACAAAUGAGAAAAAUAAAGAAUUAUCUUUAUUUUGUUUUCCUCUAUAUUUUUAAAUAUGAUAAUGUUUACCCCUUAAUAUUUUUUUGCAACAUAUUUUCUACAAAUAAAUGAUUUGAAAAUUCAAAUCUACUUAAAACAAAUAUAUUUAUUUUUCUGCAUCAAACACAACUUGAAUUUCUUAAAUCGGAUUUGAUUUUUUUAAAUAAUGAAUAGUGUUUAUCUUUCUACACAUAAAUGAGAUAGUAUAGAAUCCAAUGAAAUAGUAUAGAACGAAACAUUUGUAAUAAAAUGUAGGUAGUGGUGGUGGUGACGGUAAUAACUUGGUGAUGAUGAUGGUAACGGUAUGGUGGUGAUGGCAUAGUUGUGGUAGCGGUGGUGUGAUGGCAUGGUGGUGGUGAUAUAGUGGUGGUGAUGGUGACGUUGGUGGUGGUUAGGACAACGACGAUGGUGGUGGAGGUAGUAGUAGUGGUGGUGGUGACUGUCGUUGGAACUUUUCUCGUAAAGUUUAAAUUCUGGAAAGAUAUUCAAAAUUUGAUUCUCCCCAAAUAAACAGUAAUCAAAGCUAAUAUUUUACAGUUACAAAGAAAAUGGGAUAGAUAUUACGUAAAAACAAAAGAAGAGAGACACAAGGGCAAAAGGGUCCAAAGUACAAAAAUUACACACAAUAUCAUUGGCUUUUUUUGUUGGUUAUUUACUUAAUUAUAGAUUUUUUGUAUGUUAUUGGUGCAAAUUUUCCUAAAAUCAACAGCAGUUUUGUUUAGUUUUUUUUUUAUCGUGUCACACCAUCUUUUACCACAAUUUUUCACCGUGUUCUCUAACCGUUGUCGUAAAUAUACACCGUCCGCUUGUGUCACCAAUCAAAUUAGAUACAAUGUACCACAAUUUUUGUUUCUUUUCUUUAAAACGAAUUUCGCUUUUAAGUAGGUUUGUGCAUAGUUAUUUAUCAUUUCCAUACGUGAAAGUUUUAUGUAAUAGAAGGUAAAAAGAAUGGUAGAUAAUGAAUACGUCCCCUCCUCACUUUUAGAUGAAUAUUCUUAUGUUCUUGUAAAAAUUUAUUAGGCAGAAAAAUUGUUUAUUUAUUUAUAACUAUAAUAGAGUGGGAGGGUUAGUAUAAAAAUGUUAAAAUGAUGAUUAAUUGGUGUUUAUUUUUUUUACCUACCAACUUUUAUAUGAUAAUGACUGAUACAUGUAUUAAGUUUAACCUAAUUAAGCUUUUUAUUCAGUUAGCUGUCUUUAUCUUCCACACUAGGCUUAUAACUUAUCUAUAAUUGAGACCUACCCCUAUGGACUCUUCUUCAUCAUUAUUCUUUAUGGUUUUUAUUUGCUAUACGUUUGAAACCAAACCAUAGGUAAAAAGCUUAAUUAGGUGAAUAUUAUUUGCCCGGAUUAACAUUUCUCUAUAUAAUGGGUCUUGCAUCUACCGGAAAAUUUACCAUAUAAUUUCUCAAUUUUUUGCAAUUUCGCAAAUUUAUUCCUUAAUUUCCACGUUUGCAACCUCAAGUAUUAUUAACUACGCAAAAUUUAAAUGUUGCAAAAAUGAAAAAAAAAAAAAAGACCAAAUAACAUGUGACAAAAUAAAUAUCAUUAAUUAAACUGUUUAGGACAUUGUUAUUCUUCAAUACGCGUAGAAAAGACAGUCCAUUGUGAUUACAUGUUUUCGACUCAAUGCAUGUACGUACCGACGGUACCGUUGUACACGAUCGGUGAUCACUAGGAAACAAAUUGGCCCAUCUCCGUUGAAGAAAAUUAAAAUAUACACCGAUUUGUUCAAAUAAUUAAUUAUUUUUACGUGUUGACAAAAACAAUUCACGUAUGUUCUGUUUUAAAAAAUUGUGAAGUCAAUGACCAGACACACAUAUAUACACUAUAUUUUUAAAUGAAAUAUGAAACAGGGACAAGACACAACUGUUUCAUGCUGGUCUUAAUCUCCUCAAAUCCUCAGCAAUUGCUAGGCAUGGUUUUCCAGUUGCUGCUCUUCCAAUCCGUUACCUUGGCCUCCCUCUUAUGCACAGAAAACUCAAAAUCUGUGAGUAUGAACCUCUCCUGGAUCAACUUAUUGGUAAAUUUAGAGGAUGGGCAAUGAAAUCUUUGUCUUAUGCGGGUCGUACACAAUUGUUGUCUUCGGUUAUUUCGGGAACUGUUAACUUCUGGAUUUCAGCUUUCAUCUUACCAAAAACUUGUAUAAAGAAGAUCGAGUCUUUAUGCUCAAGAUUUCUCUGGUCCGGUAAAAUUGAUGGCAGUAAGGGUGCCAAAGUCGCUUGGUCCACUGUCUGUUUACCUAAGCAAGAAGGCGGUUUGGGGCUACGAAGAUUCUCUCAAUGGAAUACCACUCUCUGCUUGAGAUUUAUAUGGUUAUUAUUCUCUGAAUCUGGUUCUCUGUGGGCUAUGUGGCAUAAAUAUCACAACAUCAAGAGUAACAGCCUUUGGGAAAUCAGUGAAUCACCAAGAGAUUCUUGGACUUGGAAAGCAAUCCUGCGACUGAGACCGGUGGCAGCCCAGUUUCUGAAAGUUGUUGUUGGAAAUGGGAGCAGUGCUAGUUUAUGGUUUGACAAUUGGUCUCCUUUUGGACCUCUAAUAAAAUACAUUGGUGCAGAUGGUCCUCGACAACUUCGUAUUCCCCUCAAAGCUAAGGUAAAGGAUGCGUGUAACUCUGCGGGCUGGACUCUUCCUUCUCCAAGGUCUGAUGUGGAGUUAAAUUUGCAUGCACAUUUAACAACAAUUGAGGUUCCAAGCAGUUCUGCAAAUCAAGAUGAGUUCUGUUGGGUUGUUGACAAGGUAAAAUGUAAUGGUUUCUCUUCUUCACAGUCUUGGAAUGUUUUAAGGCCACGAAAAGAGGAAACUAAUUGGCAUGAUGUUGUGUGGUUCAAAGGAUCUAUUCCCAAACAUGCUUUCAACAUGUGGGUCUCUCACCUUAACAGAUUGCCCACAAAGAAGCGUCUGUUCUCUUGGGGUAUUAUUCCUUCUCCGAAUUGCAGUUUUUGUGCUGCAGACAUUGAAUCUAGAGACCAUCUGUUCCUAAUCUGCGCCUUCUCUCAAGCUAUUUGGCGACUGGUUUUCUUAAAACUUGACCCUAACAGGUCGUUGCUCCUUUCGUGGUCUGAACUUCUUUCUUGGGUAAGAGCCGGUUCGCAAGCUGCACCGAUUCUUCUAAGGAAAAUCAUUGUCCAAGCAACCAUUUACCACAUCUGGAAGCAACGCAAUAAUCUCGUCCACAAUCAACAAGCAAUCUCACCUCCAGCUAUCUUCUUGCUUCUUGACAAGGACAUUCGCAACAUCAUCUCUGCAAGACGCCAUAGGAAGCCUUUUUACAAUCUGAUGCAGUGUUGGUUAUCUUGAUCUCACGUCUGUGAUUUCCCCAAAUUGUCUCCUUGUUUUUAUUCUUUUUGCCAAGGUUUCAAUAUUCUCAGGCUCUACUCUUUGUAACAGUCAAACGUUUUCAUAUUUUAUGAUAUUAACAUGUUUAGCAAAAAAAAAAAAAAAAAAAUAUGAAACUUUUAAUAUCAACAAAAAAAAUCUUGAACCAUUUAACUAAAGAAAAAUGCCUAGAGUACCUGACUUCUAAUAAAUUGUUUCAGUAAUAUAUUUAAUUUUCUCCGUUUCAAUAAAAAAAUUUGAUAUUUUAACUGCUCCACAGAAAACACUAUUAUGCUAUUUAAAUAACUUUAAAAAUUAAAUGAAAUAAUACCAAAAUUUACGUUAAUAUCAUAAAAUGACACUUAGUUAGACAAAAAACACACAUAAAUUAAAACGGAAGGAAUAUUUGUUUUUCGAAAGAAAACUAUGAGCUAAACCAAAUAACUCUAGCUAAUUUUUUAUACUAAUCAUCCAAUCCAAACUAUAUUUUGAAACUGAGUCCAAACUGGCUCGAACAUACUAAAGUAUUAUAACUUUAUAAGUAAAUGACUAUAAAUGUUAUUUAAUAAUUGAAUCGCCAUAAUUAUACAAGGAUGUUAUAUGUAAAACUAUCAUAUAAAUUUGUAUAAAAAGUUGAAAACUUUUAUCUUAGUGGAACAAAUAGUAGAAUCUAAAACAUCCAUUAUAACGAUCACCACUAAUAUUAAAAAAAUACUUUUUUGUUAAUUAGAAAUUUUUAGUUUUCUUAUGUAAACAUUCAUCUUCCAAAUUGGACAAUCAAACAAAAUAGUUGUUUCCUAAUUAAUGUAUAGUUGAAAUUUUUUUUAGGAAAUUCUAGUUUGUUAGAUUUUAAUUUCUUUAUGACACUAUUUUGAUUGUAGGAGUUAAAUGAUUUGAAUUGGAAUGCUUUGAUGAUUUUUUACUUCUAGAUAAUCGCGAUCAAGCAAAAUUAUUUUUUAACAUCAAAAUUUAAAUGUGAUGUAGUUUUUACUACUGUUCUCCAUGUGUUACCAUCCAAAUUCAUCAAUGUGAUUAUGUAUGUUGUUGACAAAAAAAAUCUAGUUCUUAGGAAACUCUUGCAAAAAUAAUAAUUUAAUAGUCAAAAAUUCAAAAUCCAGAUGUGUUAAACAAAUGGUUAGUAUUAGUGUAUCACCAUUAUCAAUUCAUCAUCACCAUUCUCACACAUGUUUCAGCAAUAUAACAAAUUGUAACUUUUGACUCGUUAAUCAUGUCAAAUCCGCACGCUCAGAGCAACAUUAGCAACGACUUCUUGUGCAAUCAUUAGUAAUACUAGUUUAUUAUCAUCAGACUUUAUAUUUUAUUUUCGGAAAUUUAAGCCAUAUUUACUAGGUGUAAUAUAUAAUUUUCUAGUAUAUUGGGACUUCCAUCGUCCCGAUUUUCACUAACAUCGGCUGACAAUAUCAGUAGCAAUAUUACUUCCACUACAAGUUUUUUUUUUUCUUUCACAAUAAGAUAAACAACGCUUGUUGGUGUUGAUUUGAUUCAGAAUAAACCAAUAUAAAUUAGUAGCUUAAAUAAUUAGAAGAGGGUGAUACCGAGAUCAAACAUAAGUGUAUACUACUAAUGCUUUAAGCCUCAUCGAUCAAUUCUUCAAAGCUAAAAGCCAAUCUUGUAAAACAAUUUGCGAUAUAAUUUUCUCAUUACAUCUCAAGUUUAAAUAAACGGACACAAGAAACUUUAACAUAAGAAAAUGAACAAAUACUUGAUGGAAUAUUUUGCAUAGACAAUAGAUAAUGCUUUUAAAGUUAUAUAUAUUGGGCCAAGUUGUUUUGUAUAGAUAAUGUUAAAAAAAGAAGGAACUAUUAUGUUUCUAAUGAUUCUUCCAUUUGAAAUGUAAAGACGAAAACUUUGGGCACAUAAACAAACACUUAUAUUAGUUAUCUAAUGCAUAGAUUGUGUGGUUACACGUAUGUUGCGAUCAUUUGUGUUUGUUUUUCUAUCCAUCUUUUCUUUCCAUGUUUUUCUUUAUUUAGUUAAUUUAUAUUCGUAUUAUAACCAAAGUUAGUACCUCAACCUAUAAUUAUUACAUUUUUUUAUCAAUUCUUUUAGGUAUACUGGUAGGGAUAGAACUAAGAGCACCUCCAAUGGGAGGUUGUCUCAAAAAAAAUUAGGGGUUCUCUUGAAUAAUUGGACCAAAAAUAAUUCAAAAGGAGGAAAAUAGAAGAGAGUUGGUUCUCUUCAGAGGCUUUUGAGAAAUGAAGAGAACCUCCUAUGUGUCAGCAAAAUAGUGGGUGGAGCAUUAAAACAAAAGAGAAAAAAAAAGCUGUUUCGUUUUACUUUGUUUUCUCCGGAACUUUUCUCUCCCCUCUAUUGCAAUUUCUUUUUUUUUCUUGUUACAAAGAACACCAAAAUUCCAUUAUCAUUGUUCUUCUUAUUUGUUUUUUCUAUUGUUACUCCAAAAUUUACAAAAAGGCACCAACCAAAAAUACCAUUGUUCUUCUUUUUCUUUUUUUACGAUCACCUAAAUACCAUUGCUAUUCUUUUUUAAAAAAUGUUUGAAAAUAAUGUAUGUUUAAUAUUUUAUGAAUUACAAUAAUUAUUAAUUUUUAUGAUAUACAAUUUUUUAUAAUUUUUUUUUUUCUAAGAACCUCACUAGAGAACCUACCAUUAGACACAAAAAAUCAAAAAAAAAAUCAGGUUCUUAUCUAACACUUUCUCAAAAUUUAUAAUAAAAAUUUUGGGAGAGCUCAUGGAGAGAACUCCCCCAUUGAAGAUGUUCUAAGGGUCGUUAGAAAACUAAAAAUACACAAAGUAAUAACUUUUAUUUUAAAAUACAAUUGUAUGUUAGUUUAAGAAAAUACACAAUAUAUGAAAUUUCCAACAUCUUUAAUAUAAUUUUUGUCUAACCAAAAUUUUCUCCUAACCCUUUAGGGAGGGAGAUGGUAAACCCCUUCCAACUCCUAUAUCGACAAGAUCACCCAAAGGAUUUACUACGUAGGUCGUCAGAUUGCACAUGAAAUAUUAAGCUCUACAAUUUCACCAGAUUAAUGUAUAUAAAAUUAUAAAUACAACCUACAGCCCAAUUUAUGAAUUGCAAGCUGGACUUAAAUUAAAUGAAGUACGUGUUAAUAUUUUACUGGGAGAUUUAAUUAUAUAGGCCGAUUAUUAUUUCUUAUCACAAAGUAAAAUCUUCUCCAUGAGUUUAUUGUUAGUGAUAGUAUUUGUUAGAAUUUUAACAAAAAAAAAAAGAUAGUAUUUGUUAGAAAAUGCUCCGAAUCGGUGAAAAUAGUGGUACACCGGUCCUAUAAGACCAUCUCCAAUGUAUUUCCCUAUUUUUAGCUCUAUUUCUAUAAGAGCAUCUCCAACCCACCUCUAUAUUUGCCUCUAAACUCUAUUUUAUAGGCAAAUUUGCUCCAACUUGGAGAUGCUCUAAUAUUGGAAUAUGCAUUCUUGACAUAUUUAGAUCAAUUCAUGAGGAAUAAAAAAAAAUUCCUUUAUCUUUUUUUUUUCCUACCAUUAAAAUGGAUAGUUUAUCAUAGAGUGCUAGACAUUAUUCGUAUGAUAUGUAACUUAUGUAAUUUAAGUUGGAAGAACGACAUGUGUCUCCCCACGAAGUUUCUAUAGUAUCAUAACAACACAGAUUUUGGGUCUCGUCUCCAGUUCACACAAAACGAAAGUUAAACUCCAGUUUCCCCCUAAAUUGAAAGUUCGAGACCUCAGUCUCCAUAAAUUCAAAUUUUGUGGUUUAUUAUUGGUUUACUGUGCCGGAAACACCAUUAACCGCUUAACAUCGACAUUAAACCGGAUUUACCCAGAAACCAACCCGAUUAUUAGACCCAUUAAACCCGAUAAUCCCCAAAUCGUAAAAUCCCCAAAUUAAACCCUAGAACCCUAAAAACGAAAAAUCCCCAAAUUGAACCUUAGAACCCUAGGAUCAAAAAAUCCCCAAAUUAAUGGAUUCGAAUGAGCUUUAUACGAAUGCUGUCGUCGUUCAUGAGGAGGCUACUAGAGUUGGUCCGCAAGAGGAAGGAGAUCCAAGAGACAACGGACCACAACGAUAGUAACGGCGGUAUGGAUUGGCGGCGGAUUUUGAGAUGAUCGCCGAGAUACUAGCCCCACACCAACACAUCUUCGGCACACCCACAACUCUCCUUUUCUGUCCCACAUUUGAUGCUCCACUCGUAGCUCCAGAUGAAUUGCUCAUAUUCGAGCUUAGAUUUGUGACCAAAAUUGAAAUCAAAGAGGAAGAAGAGAAAAAUCAAAAUUAGGGUUCUAAGAUUUCUCAAUUUGGGGAUUCUUGAAAACGGUAUUUAUUUCGGGUUGGGAUAACUCGAAUUGGGUUUGAAAUCGGUUUAUUAUUCUGGGUUUUGGUUUGGCAUCGGGUUCGACACAGUAAAUCAAUGAUAAACCACGGAAAUUGAAUUUAUGGAGACUGAGAUCUCGAACUUUCAAUUUAGGGAGAAACUGGAAUUUAACUUUUGUUUUGUGUGGACUGGAGACGAGACCCGAAAUCUGUGUUGUUAUGGUACUAUAUGAAACUUCGUGGGGGACACAUGUCGUUCUCCCAUUUAAGUUUGAAAUUUUGAAUCAUUUAAUUUACAUGUUGACAGAAAAAAACAAAAAUAAGAAGCGGCUAAUCGAACGAGAAGGUCUUAUAUAUUACUCUUGAUGUGAAAGACAACCCAUGAGAUAAAGAUAAUCUUAAUUAGUUUAAGCUAGCAUCCUUGAGUAACUAUAACCACUCCUUUGACGGUUCAUAAGCUAAUAAUGAUGAUUAUGCUCCAUUAUGAGUUUUUUUAAUAUGAUAGUUAUUGAUUCUAAUUUAAAAUGAUACUUCAAAUUAAUAAAGAAAUGUGUGAAGAGGCACAUUAUGUCGAGGUGCAAUUUCUUAAUCAAGUCUAACUAAAUCCCAUAGGCCAUCACUACUCCUACAGGAGUUGACUUAGACCACCAAUUAAAAUAUGUAUAAAGAAUGUAAUCUAGUAGACGAAUAAUUUAUUAGAUAGGUAGAAAAUAAAGUGAAUUUUGCUUACAUUUAUUUAGAGAUAAGACAAAAUCGAUUAGGACAAGAUGCUCGCUUAGCUACAUCAGUUUCGAACGUAAUAGACGAAUUUGAAACUUAACAACCCAAGUUUUUUUGGGUAUAUUCUGACAUUACCGUUUUAAUUAGCUUUGAUAUUACACUAUGCAUUUUUAGUGAAUUCAUGUUUCUUGCAUAAUUAUUUCAACGGUAAUACCAGGUUAACUUCUAGAAAAAUAUUAGUGUAUGUAAAAAUAUUUAAUAAAAUCAAUUUAAUUAUCAAUACACUACAAGAAAACAUCACAAUUUCCGACGACGGUAUUGGUCGGGAAUUCGUCGGAAAUAGCAUAUUCCGACACAUUUCCGACAAAAUCAAAUUCGUCGGAAUUCUCUUGUCGGAAACCAUAAGUUGUCGGAAAUUCGUCGGAAAUUAUCGACGAAAACUAUUCGUCGGAAUUUUUUGUCGGAAAUAUUUGUCGGAAAUUUCCGACAAAUUUCCGACGACUAUUUAUAUAGUGGUCGGAAAUUCGUCGGAAAUUUCCGACCACUUUUAAAAUAAAAAUAAAUAUAUACCAAAAUUAGUUCCGACAAAAUUCCGACGACUUUUCUAUUUUUAAAAAAAAAAACAAAAAAACAAAUAAGAGUAUUAUAGUUAAAAUUAAAAUAAUUAUUGAAUAUCUUCAAAAAAUAGAUUAAUUGUCACAUAACCAAUUUUCAUUAUCAACAAAUGAGAAUUAAAAUUAAAUUAAUUAAAAUGAAUAAAUAUAUAAAUACAUAACUGUCUCUAUUAAUUGAACAAGAGAAUAAAAAUUUUUAACUUUAAAAAAAAUAGAAUGAUGUUUGAAGUAGAGAGAAGAAGAUGUUAAUAUAGAUUGAGAUUGUUGUGUUUGGAAUUGUGGAAUGGAUGAAAACUCAUUUGGUAUAUAUAGAAACAAUUUCCGACGAUUUAUUUCGUCGGAAAUUUGUCGGAAACUACAAAACGCGGAAAAUUCAUUUGAAUUGAAUGUACAAAGGCGGGAACAUGAAAAAUCAUACAUUUUCCGACGAAAUUCCGACGAACGUAGAAAUUUCUGACGAAUUUCCGACAAAUUAAUUAUUAAUUAUUUAUUUACUUAAUUAUAAAUUAUUUAAUUUUUUCAAUAUUUACUUAAUUAUAAAUUAUUUAAUUUUUUCAAAAAAAUAUUCAAAAUAAUAUUUCUGACGACUUUCCGACGAAAUUAAUUAUUUAUUUAUUAUAAAUUAUUUAUUUUUUCAUUUUUUAAAAUAAAAAUAAUUAAAUAAAUAAUUUCCGACGAAUUUCUGACUAAACUUUCCGACAAAUUUCCGACUAACAAAACUUUCUGACUUAAGUUUCGUCGGAAAUUCGUCGGAAAUAUUAAAGGUUUAAACUCAUAAUUUCUGACGAAUUUUCCGACUAAUAUUUCCGACCAAAGCGUCGGAAUUUUGUCGGAAAAUGUGCAGUGAAUAAACAUGUGUUCACCUAAUAUUUACGACGAGUUUUCCGACAAGUUUUCGACCAAUUUCCGAUAAAAUUAAAUAGUCGGGAUUUUCCAUGUUUUCCGAUGAAUCCUUCCGACAAAGUUCCGACGAAUUUGUGGUCGUCGGAAAGUUUUCUCUUUUUUCGACGAGUUUCCGACGAAUUUUUUUUCCCUCGGAAUCUUGUCGGAAAGUUGUCGGAAACCUGUCGGAAAAUUUCCGACCAAACAUUUUGUCGGAAAUUUUCCUCGGAAAUGACUAUGUUUUCUUGUAGUGAUAUCUCUACAUUACACUUAUAUUUUCGGUAACAUGUAAUGAUAUACCUCCAUGGUUAUCAAUAUGUGAUACAUCGUAUAAUAACUUUCAAGACGGAUUGAAUUAAGAAAAUAGAGAAAAUAAAUUCGAGGUGGUUUGCAAGUGGAGUCAAAAUAUUUUAUAAAAUACUGUGGAGUUGCAUACUAAAGGUCAAACGAAGGUAAAAUCUACAGACCGAGAAUAGCUAGACGUUGUAGAUAAUAAACAAUGGUAUCGUAGGAGACCACCACCGAGUAUAGAUAUGAUCAUUGUACGUUCGCAUUGUUCGAUCGAGAAUAUUGAUCGUCGUCCUAUGAGUGAGGUGAUUAUAAUAGUCUUAUUUUUUGAUAAAUGGGAAUUUAUGUGAAGAGGUUUAAAAUGAUUUAUUUGAUUACAUAUCUCACCAACAAAAUAUGUAUAUGUUUUGUAACUAAUCAUACAAGAAAUCCAUAGUUAAAUGUGUUUAAACCUUUAUGGAUGAAUGACAUAUUGAUAUUAUUUUGUAGAACUUUAUAACUCUGGAUUUUUUUGAUGAUUUUCUAGGGUUACUCGACAAGUCUUUUGAAUUUUUUUAAGUUGUGCACGACCGUUGAAUGAAUACGAGAUUCAAAGACUAAAAACUAACAUGAUGAUCCACAGAUAUAGGUCACCUAAACAUUACAUCAACUACAAGAAAGCAUUGAUUUUGGGACAACAUGAUUGGUAAAACAGGGUCGCAAAUAUAGAAUUUGAGACUGCCUAAAGACUACAUAGCAGCGUCGCAAAAAAACCGGAGGGUAUUUUGAUCUCUCCUUCGUAACCAAUUUGCGACUACAGUUAUAUAGUAUUUAUUAGUUACAGUAAAUAUUUAAGAUUUAAAACUCAUAAAAAUAAGUUUAGUCGAAAAUUCAAAUAGUAAUCUGGACAGCUAAAAUUAUUCUUUAAAUUAUACUCGGUACAAAUCAUAAGCUCACAAAAACAGUUAAAGUUUGUUGUAACUAAUGAUCAAAAUAGUGAGAUAGAGUAAAGUGGGGUGUAGAUCCACUACACAGAGACAAGUAGUUGCUAGAUAGAGGGAUAGAGUUUGGAGCUUUGAAAACAUCAAUGCACAAUGGAGAUGAUUAGUUAGUGAAUACGGAGGCUUGAAUGGUGUCAUUUUAAAACAAUUGUAUCAAUGAAAUUAACAUAGUAAAAACUAAAAAGUGUUGAAAUAAUUUAAUUUAACAUCACUAAUUCUGUUUUAAAAUUAGUUUUGCAAGCUAGUUUUUGUUUUUGCAAAUGAUAUUAACUCGUUAAAACUAGUUUUGGUUUUUGUGGUAAGAGCUAUACCACUUCAAUAGCUAUCAAUUAUAUAAGUUAUCAUACUCUUAUCUUUUUUUGUAUAACUAUUAUUUAUCGUUACUUUUUUCUCUCUUAAUCAUAUUAGUGUCGCUUACUGCUUUUUUCUUCUCUGCUAGAAGCUAUAAGCCUAUAAUAUUGUUUUAUGUUACCUGUCAGAUUUAUUUUGUUAUAUUUUGUUAGAAGAUAGGUUUUGAGUCCAUUGUUUUGUUAUAUCUUUAGCCAAAAUUUAUAUUACUUUAUGUAAAAGCAUUUAAUCAGAAAACAAAAUAAAACCAUCAAUAGAUUCAGAACCCACUAAAUGGAAUAUUAAAUUCUCUUUUACCACUGAUUUCCGAAAAUAUCAACUCCAUUGUAGGCAACGUAGUUUCAUUCCACGGAUAGAACUAAACAACAAAGUAAUACUAAAUUAACAAAUUAAAGUAAGAAUAAAUGAGUGAUAAAAUAUUCAUUGGAGCCUUGGGAAUCCUGAAAACGAAACUACAAAUUCUCCAUUUGAUUUGACUAAUCAUAGAUAAUCUUUUUCGUAUUUGAUAUUAUUUAUUUCUGUCAAUAAAAGUUUGUAAGCUUCCAUCAAAUUGUUAAAAUAUGUUGGGUCUGACUGGUUAAAAAACCAGAAGAAAUGAGAAGAAAAAAUAGAGGAAAAGAAAAGUCCCAUCAAGAAGAAAAAAGAGUUCUAGUUGUUUACGAGAUGAAAGAAUUCUUUUGUUGUUGUUACUUUUUGACAAUUUUAAAAGAAAAAGUUUUCUUCUAAUUUUUUUUUUACUGGUAUAUAACUGAAGAAUUUUUUCUUCUACGUUUUUCUUUUCUUUUAUUGUAGUUAACCAGUCAUACUUGUUAUUUUAAUAUAUAUAUAUAUAUAUAUAUAUAUAACACAGAUGAAAUUAUUAAGCUGAUGAAAACAUAAACCACAUGAUCUAAUUUUGAUGACAUCCGGUUCACAAUCUAUAUGAUCAUGAUUGGCUAUUGGAAAAUACUCUCACACUAGAUUUUAACCCGCGGUGUACCGCGUGAUGAUUUAAUUUUAAAGUUAGUAUAAAAAUAUUUUGUAAAUUGUAUCUCUUUAUAACAUAUUUAUUUAUAUUAUAGUUUAUAAUUGUUAUUAAGGAACGGUAUACCACGAGUCGAUGAGACAAUUAUUAAUAAAUAGAGGAUUUAACCAGUAUUAAAGCAGUAUAUAAAUAUUGAUUCAAAUUCGUCCGCCAUAUAAAUCCUUUCCGAAAUAUAACAUGUUGCGUAAUUUCUUAACCUAUCCCUUGAUUUGUUUUUAUUUUAAAAUUUAAUAAUUAUUUAUUAUAUAUAAAAGUUUACAAAUCAUAUCAUCCUCUAAGACCACAUGACAUUAUACCACGAGACAAAUUUUGGUUUUAUACAAUCUUUUCUAAAUGAGACUGAUUUAAUAUGUCUAAUAUUUGUGGUAUUAAAAAAGGAUUUAAUCCGUAUUAAAGCGGCGGAUUAAUGAUAUUUUAAUCUGUUUAUUAUUGUUGAUUCAAAACUCCGUCCCGCCAAACCCGUCCGGUAAAAAAACUCAUUUAUUUUAUUAAUGUUCUUAUUUAUGAUAUGAUUCUGAAUCAUAAUCUAAAUAUUUUAAUCGAUGUAGAACGUUGAACACACAUUUUCGUCAAUUGGAUAAUAUAUGUCCGUUUUUAAAAUUUUGAAUCACAGUAUAUGCAGAAAAAAAAUUGAUUUUUUUUUACCUUUAUAUAUUAUAUGAUGAUUCAAAACAGUUAAAAACAAAUCAAACAAAGAUGAUAGAAGAAUCAUAAUUAUAAAUCUUAAUCAAAUCUUCUAACUAUCUAAAUUAUUAAAUAUGCAAUAUCCGGUGUUUGAGUUGGGUUAAAUAUAAUCCGAUCCAACAAAUUUUUUGUGAAGGAAUUUUAAAAACGAGUCGGGUAUCCGAUAUAUCUGGAAGCAUUUUUACUUACACGUCACCAAAGUGUUGCAAAAAUAAUAGUCUAGAUAAUUCAGUUUGUUCCAUUUGUCAAUAUAUAGAUUGUAAGAAAAUAGUUAUGCUACCAUAUAGACAAGUUCUAUUUGUAAAAAAUAGUAGCAAAAAAAAAGAUUUAUAUACUGCCUCAAAAAAAAAAAACUGAUGGCAAAAAGCCAAAAACAUCCGAAUUUUUUUUUUCUUUUCAAUUUAUGCAACUUUUACUUGGCUAUUUAUUUUUGGGGGUUGUUUCUCAGAUUGCUUUUUUUUUUUUAGUGAUUACGUUUUGAAUGGUAAAAAAAAUCACCACCACAACAAAAUAUAAGCAAAAAAGUACCAAGUGGUUCAUGACUACUGAUGAUCUUGCUAUUGGGUAGAAAGUAGAAACAACAAUACUCAUGGUUUUUUUUUCAAACCAAUUAAACUAAAAUUAGAGCUUAAUGUUGUUGCACAAAAAAAAAAAAAGAGAGCUUCAGGCUGUGUUAAAGCGUUAAACUCUUUGACUUUGAUAUAUAUCUACAAAGACUGCGAUACGGCGUUAUAAGGACAUAUGCAAGGGUGCAUUUUUUAAGUUUGAUCUUAAGGGAGAAAAAAUAUUAAAAUAUUGUAAGAGCUUUAAUUAAGAUCUUUUGUAAAGUAAGUGAUUAUUGGUAGAACAUGUUUAGAUCAUAGGAAUUGAUUUGAAAUUGAAAUAAUGUAAGAUCAUUAGUUUACAAUUUUAAAAACUUUAAGAAAUAACUUUUAAAUUGCAAACUUAAAAAACUUAUACUAAAAUAGAUUUGAAAAUAAAAAGAAACACAAAAUAUAAUAUCAAAUUUUUAUGAAACAAAAAAGAACAUUAAAGAUAUAAAUAAAUAAAACAAACAAACAAACAUAUUAUUUAAUUAAACCCUAGCAUAGAUUUCGGAUCGAAGGAGAAAUGAAAUGUUUUUUUCUUUUGCAAAAAUUCGUAGCCAAUGAUGAAGCGUCACGUCACGCUAAAAUUGGGGCAAGAACAGUUCUACAACAAGAACAGAUCUACAACAGAUCUAAUACUAUUCACAAUAUUUUUUAUUUUUAAAAGGCUAAGAACACCUAAGUGUUCUCCCUUUAAAUAUGGCCUAAGAAUUUACCGUUCGUGUGACAAUAUAUAAAUAUAAUGUAAGAUGUGUUCAUUAAAAUUUGUGGGUCUAAUUGUUAAACGUUAAUAAAUUUAGAAUUCUUUUGUGGUAUCCCACACUAGCUUGGAAACAGCUUUGCAUCCGGAAAUGACGUAAAGCCUCCCAAUUAUGAUGGUAGAUAAUACACAACAUCGUCCUUCUUCAUGUAUUAUUUUUAGUGCUUUACAUAUAGUUUGCAACUUUAGUUUUUAGUUAAUUAGAGUUGCAAACUUUGCUUUAUUUAUCCCACUAAUCUAUACGACAGAGAAAAAACAAAUUAAACUCAAAUUAUAGAUUUUAUAUUUUAAUGCAUAUCAUAUCAAAAUCUUCUUUUCUAUACUCACAACAAUUUAAUACAUAUAGAUAUAUCUAUAUAAUAUACACAUCUUUGUAUGAUUGUUUUAUAUCUACUUAUAUAUGCAUAUAUCAAUGGCUGGCCAUCAAUCUCAGCUCUAGAGUGUGUGUGUGUGUGUGUAUCUAACUAUCUAUGCAUUGGAUCGGAUCGAAGUAGAACAUUGUCCUUAUUCGGAGGAGGCAACAGAUACACACGUGUUCAAGAUUCGACGAGGAGAAUGACACCCAAAAAAGUACAAUAUAUAUGUACGUUUUAUGCAUAGUGUAUUUUUUUUUACAACUUAAAUUGUAUUUUUAUACCAAUUAAUUUAAUGAUUGAUAGGAUCAGAUCAAAUUUACAAGAAAAAAUACCCUAAAACUUGAUAUAAUGAAAUUAAGGAUAAAAAUAAUUUUACUUUUAACAGAUGAUAUAUAAAACAAAAUAGAUGCAACUAUGCAUUAAAAAUAAAAGAAAACCUGGCUAGUGAGUUGUGACCCUCUAACUUAUAGGUCACAUUGUAUCCAUGUAAGUCUAUAUGGUUUCAGAAAUCUUAAAUAAUUUUACAAAGACAGAAAACAAAAAACAACAAAAAAUGAUUAGAGAUUAACAUAUUUUACCUAUUAAAAUUUUAAAAAUUGAAAAUUUAAGAUUUUAAGUCAUCCACAUAAGAAAAGCCUAGUUAAAUUCAAAGUUCAUACUGGAGCAACUGAAAAUUAUUAUUAUGAAUAUUUAAGUUAAUAAUAAAAAUACUUGGAUUUGAAUACUCAGCAAAAACAAACUAUAAGGGAUUUUUUAUUUUUGUCAAAGUUUAAAUUUCUGUUUUUGUUUCUGGUAUUUUUGUUAACUUUUAGUUGUGAAACUACAAAGGGUUAACCAACGUCUUAAUGAAUUUUCUAUAGAUGGGGCAUCUAAAAAUCUAUUUUAAUAAGGUCGUAGACCAAAGUCAGAGAAAACACGGCUAUGUCUAGGUGCAUAUAUAUAGCCUCCUUAUACCUCAUAACUUAAUUACUUGUGAAGCAUUUGCUUUCUUUCACCAUUUUCUCUCUUACUCUUCCUCUCUCAAUUCUGAUAUUGCUACGAAGAAGUUAUAUUUUUUUGACGACUCACGACUCGUUGAGGUGAUCUACCAAAAGGACUAAACAACAAAACAUAUUUUUUAUCCCAACAAAAAAAGUCAAUCAUCAUGAAGUUCUCAAUCUCAACACUGAAGCAGGUACAACCAAUCUUGAGUUUCAAGAACAAGCUAUGUAAGGUCAACGUCAACUCUUUUCUCCAUCCCAAAGAAAAAGUCGUCUUCGUGAUGGGAGCUACCGGAUCGGGUAAGUCUCGUCUUGCCAUCGACCUAGCAACUCGUUUUCAAGGAGAGAUCAUAAACUCCGACAAGAUCCAACUCUACAAGGGCCUCGACGUCCUAACAAACAAAGUCACCCCUAAAGAAUGCCGAGGCGUGCCUCACCACUUGCUUGGAGUAUUCGACUCCGAAGCCGGAAACAUAACAGCCACCGAGUAUAGCCGCCUUGCUUCACAAGAAAUCUCAAAACUCUCAGCGAACAACAAGCUUCCCAUAGUAGCCGGUGGAUCAAACUCUUACAUCGAAGCACUCGCGAAUCAUUCCUCGGGGUUUUUGUUAAACAACUACGACUGCUGUUUCAUUUGGGUUGAUGUUUCCUUACCCGUACUAAACUCCUUUGUCUCAAAACGUGUCGACCGCAUGAUGGAAGCAGGAUUACUUGAAGAAGUAAGAGAAAUGUUCAAUCCAAAAGCGAAUUACUCCGUAGGGAUAAGACGAGCUAUCGGAGUCCCCGAGCUCCACGAAUAUUUACGUAACGAAUCUCUAGUGGACCGUGCCACACAAAGUAAAAUGCUUGACGUAGCAGUUAAAAAUAUCAAAAAGAACACAGAGAUAUUAGCGUGUCGGCAGUUAAAAAAGAUUCAACGGCUUCACAAGAAGUGGAAGUUGUCUAUGCACCGUGUGGAUGCAACCGAGGUGUUCUUGAAACGCAACGUAGAAGAACAAGACGAGGCUUGGGAGAAUCUUGUAGCUAGACCAAGCGAGAGAAUCGUCGACAAGUUUUAUAAUAAUAACCAACUGAAAAAUGAUGAUGUUGAGCACUGUUUGGCGGCGUCUUAUGGCGGAGGAACUGGAAGUAGAGCCCACAAUAUGAUAUGAAAAGUUUUGUCAUUGAUCAUGUGAAGCUUUUUGGAGUGCGAAAACGAUGAGUCUCUAAGAUUUCGUAUGUGUGGUGGUGAUUCCCCGGAGGCUUUUUUCAACGUACAGGUGUGACAUUACCCCUAAAGAAAAAAACAAAAAAGUUUUUUUUUUUGUAAGUGUUUGUAUAGAAGAUAUUCGGUUAAUAUUAAUUGUUUGAUACCUAUUGACUACGAGUUCACGAUAAACCGAAAGUUUUAAUUCCUUGUGCCACGAUAUCACACUUAUGUGUAUUGUUUAUAAUAUAUAAACAAUUAUUUGUAUUGCUUUUUGUUGUGUGAAGUAUAUCUUGGCCUUACAUUUACGCAUUCAUGUUAUUGGCUGAGCAAUCAAAAACUAAUUAUAACAGUUAAAUUCUCCUGAUUUGAAAACGCCCUUUUGGAGUAUGACAGUUUAGUAUGCUCAAUAUUUUGAAUUGGUUAAUAAUCUAUGCAUGUUUUUUUUUCGAUUAAUGAUUCAUGCAUCGUAAAGACAUAUAUAUGUAUAUAUGUUCUGUUUUUGUUAAUGUAAUGAACGUUAGGGUCUUUCAUCUGUCUAUGUUUUUUUAUAAUCAAAUAUUAACAUUUAUCCAAUAUCCAAGAUUGAAACUCCUUAACCAUAUCAAGUUUAAGUAAAGAAAGAUAUAUGAUCAUGUUGUAUUAACAUUUGAGCACGAAAGUUCUACAUCUACGUAAAAGUUGAGUAAACACGCUAAUAGAUAUUAUUAACCAACAAUAAAAUAUUAACAUAUCCGAAUUAUUUUUAACGAAUUAUAUAUUUAUGUGAUAUAACUAUAACAGACUAAUUAACACUUAACAGUUUAUAUAAUUAUAAACAGCUAAUUGCCUAAUUGUGAGAUCAAAUGAUCUCUUUUUUUUUUUUGUCAAAAAGAUCAAGUGAUCUUUUGUAUGUUAAUAGGUAAUAUGACCGUUGAUAUGAUUGAGAAAGUUUACCGCCUAUUCAAAGGUAAUUUAAGAAGAGACUACUUUAACUCUGCUAACGUUACUGGUUUUGGCAGAAAUACGGAUUUUGGCCUAAAUCAUUUUAGUAAAAUAGAAAAGAAAAAAAAACAACUGAUUUUGAAUAAUCUUUUUUUUUCUUUUUCUUUCCUGGAUCCCACUUUGGAGACAAUUUAACCCAAAUGGGUAAACAACAAGGAAGGAUAAAACCUUGAGUGCACGAAUGCAGCUUGUGAUUUUGCAGUAGACUACUUGAGUUAUCUAUUUACACGUUCUCUUUCAUGUAGCAUCAAAAUUUGGGACAGUUCAAGUAAAUAAAAGACUUUGAACAAUUAUAGUAAAAAAAAAAAAAGUGAGAGGAGGAGAAUCUUUAAGUUGAGAAAGGGAAGAAUCGAAGAAAGAACAUGAAAAAGAGCAAAGAGCGCGUGGUAGGCGCGUGGCAAGUAAGUGAGUUAAGAAGUCUGUGUCAAUGACUCAAGAGAAAAUUGCACGCGCAGCUUAAUUUAAGGAUCUUCCGUACAUAAGAGCAAAAGCGUGUGGAGAAGGUUGGAUCAAUCAUAAAUUACGUUCGUACAGUUGUGAAGAGACAUUGAUCAUUAUUUAGAUAAUACUUGUAUUAUCAAGUAGUAGUAUAUAUUAGUAUUAUGUUAUUGUUGUUAUUCAUGGACCCAUCCAUUAAAUUGAAUUGUACACACGUCAAGUCAUAACGCAUCUAGGACAAGGAGGUGGUGAACUAAAUAGCACUAAACUAAUGUCAUAAGGAGACAGCAUCUGAUGUCUUUCUUUUCCCUAUUCUUUCGUUUUAUAAUUUUUUUAACGAUUUUUUUCUCUUUGGUGUACAAUUGUGAUGUUCUUCUGAUAAUGAUUUGUGGGGUUAGUAGUUUGAGAUGAACUUGAAAGCACUAAAUAAGAAAAUUGUGUUUAGGACUUGAAUUCUCAUUCACAUUAAUCAAUAUAUAGUCGGCCAAUCAGUAUUGUUCACCGGGGUAAAUUAUACAAAUUACCUGCCACGAUUAAUUCUGAAAUAUUGACUCACAAACAACAAAAAGAAUACUAUAUAACGUUUUAUAACUUGUAACUCAUAUUAAUGAUGAUUGUGAUGAUGGCUCCAAAUUGGCACUAUAAAAUAGAAGAGAGUAGAAUGUUUUCUUAAGGCUUAAAAGAUGAAAUAAAACAAAUCAAAGGUUGAUAUUGAACAUAGAAAAUACCAAAAGCUGCUCUUUAUUUAUUCCCUCAAUAUUCUAUAUUUAUCGUAUUGUGACGCAAAUGGAAAUUGUGUUCUUAUAUUUUGGAGAAAAUGGCGAAUCGUUCCCUAAAAUAUUUAUAAAAAAUAAACAAUCUUUUGUGGUGCGCUUAGUCUCUUUAUUUACAGAUUUUAUUGGUCCAACUUCAGUGAGUUACCUUUUUUUUUUUCCAUCAAUCGUAUUGCACUCUACAUAUUCCAUAUCGGGCCAUGCUUAUCUAGUUAUCUUCAAAUUAUUUACACCAUUUUCAAAGGGUUUGUUUUGUUUCUUCCAAACAAAUUAAAAUCAAUUUAUUGCAAGAAUAAUUUUAAAACAAAAAUGUUAUUUUUAUAUUUCCGCUUACUAGCUAAAAGCUAGGAUUUAAGCAAAGAAUAUGUUAUAUCUAUUAUUAAUUUUUUUGUGUAACACAAAUUACACAAUGACGCACACAUAAUAAUCCGUAUCUAGUAAAAAUAUUUGAAUAUGCUAGAAUUGUUUAUACAUCUAGUAUUAAUACUUCUGCAAAUAUUAAUUAUAUAUUUUCAUUUAAUAUGAUAUCUAAUGAAGAUUUUUCAAUUUAAAUAAUAAUUUAUUCAUUUUGUUUCAAUAAAUUGAAUAUGAAAUCCAUAGAUGACUAAACACAAAGUAGAUUGUAUCAUUUCCUAAUCAUGUAAAUAACUAAAACAUACUAGUAUAUUUGAUAUUUUUACUGAAACAUAGUACUUUAACUACUAUAAAGUUCGAUGGAAAAAAAAAAACUACUAUAAAGUUAUAUGUUGAGUUGCACAACUUCAAGAACAAAAAAAAGGUUUCUUAAAACACUUUGACAUACACAUUACACUCUUUAGAAAUCUUACCCAGAAAAUAUCAAACGGUAUUACAUUUAAAGUUUUAAUCAAAAUAUCACCCUAAAAAAGAAUUCUAACGAAACAGUGGGAAUAUGAAUAUAUGACCCACAAUGCUUGAAGCUAUCUAGAAUCUAAAAUUGCAGAAUUUUAGGCCUUCAAUUUUGGUAUGUCUUCGUCUCUUUUAGAUGUGCUUUUGCUUUUUAAAGCCCAUUUUGUUUUAGGAGUCUGUUUUUUUUUUAUAUAAUUAUUCUUAGCUUUUCUAACGUACAAGAAGAAUAUAUAACGUCAACAUCAACUUUUUGCAAAGGGAACCUAAGUUCAAUGCCAAAGUUCAGGUUCUGAGCACAUAAAUACAAAAAGAAGAAAACUUAAUUUCUAAAACCAAUUUUAUUCUAACGAGUGAAUAUUUUUCCACGUCACAUUGUCGUCUUUCUCCUGUUGUGGGUUGGUGCCUUGGAGACACUGUUCCGUCCUUAUGCUGCAAGCGUGUAAUCCCUGGGCAUCUCAUUCUCAUCAUAAUUUUACUAACAAAUACAUGCAUGUCGCAAUCCUAAGUAUUCUACAAUCUCAUGUACUCAAACAAUUUUUAAAGUUCAACAAUUUCUUACCCAAAAAAAAACUAAAACAGCCUCGUGUGAAACUUGGCAUGAUCAUGAUUCAUGCAUGUCGCCCGCAAGGUGGUGGGCGAGUGGUAGGGCGAAGUCCGAAGUUGAGGGUGAAAUCCCCGAACCCGGGUUCGAUCUUCCUCCCUCGCUGUUAUCAACACUUUGUUGGAAAGUCUGGGCUUGGGCUUCGGCCCAGGCAGUUUACCUGGUAGUCUGGUAACACGCGAUCCAGCUACCCCCGGGCAUUAGUCGGAAAGCAUUUCAAACUCGUAUCAGGCAGUGUGGUAGCCCAUCCUUCGAGGUGGUAGUGAGUCCACUCUGUAGCACUCAGGUGCGUUCCUGUCGAGUGAUUGCUCGAGUAAUUAACUCAAUACACUUAACCGUUAGGCAGUAUAUUCUAGGUCGAUCCAUAAGGACCAAAGAUACUCUAAAGAUUUCCGAGACUCGUUCUUAGCUAAAGCGGAAAGGUUGUUUGUUUGGUUUUCAGAUUUUAAAAUAAAAAUGCAAAUUAAUUAAACGAUUUGACUUCAAGACUUAAAGACAUUGGGCUAUAGGAUAUUCAGAGAUCAAUAAAUAACGGAAACAUUAGACAAGGAAUUCAACAAUUAAUUAAGCACCGUUCUUGAACAUGAACACAUUUAGACUAAUUCUCUUUCAAGACAUUAAUCACUAAAUUUGACUAUUCGAUUACUAAACUUUCGCAUGUAAUUUCCUAGUCAAAUUCGCAUUAUAAAACAAGUUCAUUAAGUUCACAAUGCGUCCUAACGUCAACUUUCGUUGGCUAGAAAUACAUUGCUCAAUUCACAUUCUUUCAGGCAUUCUAUCGAACACUUUUGAUGCAUAGAAAAACCUAGACUCUACAACAGGGUGAUCAAUCCUAUUCUAGCAUUAAGAACAUGUGAAUCAAAGAACCUAGAGAAUAAGAACUCCUAAUAUCAAUCAAUCCAUUAAUCCAUUGAAUCUCCUAAUUAGAACCCUAAAACCCAAUUGAGAAACUACUCACUCAUGGCAAAGAAAACAACACAAAGAGAUGAAGAAAGCAUAAUUGAAUUGAUAAAUAAAGAAUAAGGGUUUAGAAAUCUUCUCCAAAGUGUCAAAGAGGAUGAAUCUCUAGAAUCCCAAAAAGCUUACAAAGAGAAGUCUCAAAAGUUGCAGAGAAAAGAACGUAGAGAGAAAAAUAGGUUUUUCUGGGUUUUUAUACCCAAGUACAGAAAAAGGCAAAUAAACCCGGUUAAGAAAAACCGGUCUGGUCGUCGAGGCUCGGAUCGAUCGAUCCCAUGUGUGGAUCGAUCGAUCCAGAUAUGUUGAAUCAAUUGGUCUUGGACGAAUGAGGGUUGGAUCGAUCGAUCCCCUCCUGGGAUCGAUCGAUCUCGAGCGACUGGAACUUUUGGCUUCAUCGUCACAAUUGGGAUCGAUCGAUCCACGCCUUGGAUCGAUCGAUCCCCAGCUCCUGGUGAUCUCUUGUACUGUUUCUCCAUUGUUUUAGCUCCGAAUAGGCUCAAUCAUGCACAAGAUGCUCCGAAUCCAGCUCGAGCACCUAUAGCCUGCAAAGGACUCAAGACACAACCGAAAAGACGCAAAAGACGGACUUUGACACGAUAGAUGACUCAAAACAUGGACUAAACCAAGACUCGAAACUGUUAAAAACACAACACAUCACUCCCCCCGACUUAAAUCUUUGCUUGUCCUCAAGGAAAGCAGAAAUCCUUAUCAAGAGAAGAGGUUUGAAAACACGAGAACUCACAUUUUCUUCGGGAUCAUGUUCUAUCAAUUGCCUGCAAACCACUAUCACACAACUCAUCAAACCGUACUAGACUGUACUUCGCCAUAACCGUAGCAACAAAAUUAAGUCCCGAAAUCUAAAAGAAUUUUCAGAAUCAGAUAACUUAACCUUUUAACAUUCAUUAGCAGUGGCGUGUAUUCUCACAAAGGGGGUAUCGAACACGUUAUGGGCUUGGUCAAAAAGGGCUAAUAUUUAGUGGCUCAAGGUGUUUCGGGUACUCAACAGUAUAAACGGAUGCACGUCAUUAUGUUGUGUUUUUAUCGGUUUUGAGUCUAUGUUUUCUUUCUUACAUCAUAUGUUUUAUCGAGUCAUCAGAAAUGGCCUUCGCUUUUUCCUUCUUCAGGAUUGGGUUGAGCUCUUUGCCACUCCUCAGUGAGAUAGCAUUAACAUACUCCUUACCAUUGUUGUAGUCUUUCGGGUUCGUGAUCGGCUUUCCAGGAAGAACCCCCAUUGGUCUUGUAGAUGCAGAAACUGUCUGAGCUACUUGAUUCUCAAGUGUCUUAACAUGUGAAGCUAGUGACUCGAAUUUCCCAUGAAGAUCACUGUACAUGCUAUCAACCUUGACAUUAAUAUCUGCAGCGUUCUUUUUCUGUCCCUCAAGAAUUUGCUGCAUCAUGAGCUUCAUCUCAUUGUCUCCUGAAGAAGAUGCAGAAUUAUUACCUGUAGGUGCUUGGUAACUUCCCUGGAAGUUGUUAAACUGAGAUUUCUGCUUGAAACCUCCCUGAUUGUACCCAUUGCCCUGCAUCUGUGGCUUAGGUACGAACACCUUAUUGUUGAAAUUUCCCUGUCCAGGUACAAAAGGCUUGGACUGAAAUUGCUGACCCUGUGAUCCCGUCUGCGCUGGGUAUACCUGAUCCUGCGGAUUCUCUACAUUGGUACUCCUGUAGGAAAGGUUAGGGUGGUUCCUGUAGUUCUGAUUGAAUCCCCUGUUCUGGUAAUUGCCCUGACCGUUGAUGUAGUUUAACUCAGCCUGAACAUCCUCUGAACCGUCCCCGACGAACUCUUGAUACACCUGAGCUUCACCACUAUCGUCACAGAAAUUAACAACCCGCUGAUCUCUCUUGAGGAGCUGCUCUACCUUAGCUGUCAACUCAGCAAUCUGUUUCGACUCUCCUCCUCCACCUUUGUUCGACCUGUCAUAGUCAACAUUGUGGUUACUGUUGCUGGUUGCCAAAUUCUCAAUAAGCUCUGUAGCUUCAUCCUCAGUCUUGGUCAUGAAAUCCCCAUUACUAGCAGUAUCCAAAGCCAUCUUGUAGUCCUUAUCGACUCCCCUGUAGAAAGUAUUGAUCAAAGUGGCAUAUGGAAACCCGUGAUGAGGGCAUUCUCUGUAGUAGUCUUUGAACCGCUCCCAAGCAUCAUGGAACGAUUCUGUACCAUGCUGCUGAAAAGAAGAGAUCUUGUUCCUCAGAAUGGCUGUCCUAGACUGAGUAAAAUACUGUGACAGAAAUGCAGCCUUGUAGUCUUCCCAGCUUCUUAAAUUCUCAGUGUCCAAAGACUUCAACCAGCGAUGGGCUUUGUCAGCCAAGGAGAAGGUGAAAAGUCUGCAUUUGAUGAUAUCAUCAGGUACUCCAUUCAUUCUUGUUGUACUGCAUAUAUCCUCGAAGUUAUCCAAGUGGUAGACUGGAUUCUCUGAGGUGAGACCAUGGAACUGAUUCUGCUUCACCAAAGAUAGCAACCCUGUCUUGAUCUCAAAAUCAUUCCUAUUGAUUGGCAGCUGUUGGUUCAUGUCUCGAAAAUGCACAACAUUAGGAGCAUCAUGAUCUCUCAAAGUCUGUCGAGCAGGCACGGGCCUAGCAUUUGCUACAGCUACACGAGCGGCAUUAGCAGCAGCAUCACGUUCACCAGCAGCAGGAGCAUUAUUGUUUCUAGGCGGUGGAGGAUCCUGAAACACUCCUUGAUGAUCACCUCCAAGUGGAAGUUCAUCCCUAUUCUGAAGAUUUCCUGCAGCAUCAAAUUCAGCCAUUUCAGCUUCUCUCUGCUCGGCUAUCUUCUUCUUUUUCUUAUUCGCUCUUUCAAAUUUUCCGAUAUCCUCUUGGUAAUCCGCUAGAUGUGACGAGCCUUGGCUGCGGGUCAUACACCUGAAAACACCAAAGAGAAAACGAAAACGAAAAUUAGUAACAGAAAAUAAAAAUGCUUUAGACUAAAAACUAAUCCUAAAUCGUUAGGUAACGCAAUUGGUCCCCGGCAACGGCGCCAACUUGAUUGCUCGAGUAAUUAACUCAAUACACUUAACCGUUAGGCAGUAUAUUCGAGGUCGAUCCACAAGGACCAAAGAUACUCUAAAGAUUUCCGAGACUCGUUCUUAGCUAAAGCGGAAAGGUUGUUUGUUUGGUUUUCAGAUUUUAAAAUAAAAAUGCAAAUUAAUUAAACGAUUUGACUUCAAGACUUAAAGACAUUGGGCUAUAGGGUAUUCAGAGAUCAAUAAAUAACGGAAACAUUAGACAAGGAAUUCAACAAUUAAGCACCGUUCUUGAACAUGAACACAUUUAGACUAAUUCUCUUUCAAGACAUUAAUCACUAAAUUUGACUAUUCGAUUACUAAACUUUCGCAUGUAAUUUCCUAGUCAAAUUCGCAUUAUAAAACAAGUUCAUUAAGUUCACAAUGCGUCCUAACGUCAACUUUCGUUGGCUAGAAAUACAUUGCUCAAUUCACAUUCUUUCAGGCAUUCUAUCGAACACUUUUGAUGCAUAGAAAAACCUAGACUCUACAACAGGGUGAUCAAUCCUAUUCUAGCAUUAAGAACAUGUGAAUCAAAGAACCUAGAGAAUAAGAACUCCUAAUAUCAAUCAAUCCAUUAAUCCAUUGAAUCUCCUAAUUAGAACCCUAAAACCCAAUUGAGAAACUACUCACUCAUGGCAAAGAAAACAACACAAAGAGAUGAAGAAAGCAUAAUUGAAUUGAUAAAUAAAGAAUAAGGGUUUAGAAAUCUUCUCCAAAGUGUCAAAGAGGAUGAAUCUCUAGAAUCCCAAAAAGCUUACAAAGAGAAGUCUCAAAAGUUGCAGAGAAAAGAACAUAGAGAGAAAAAUAGGUUUUUCUGGGUUUUUAUACCCAAGUACAGAAAAAGGCAAAUAAACCCGGUUAAGGAAAACCGGUCUGGUCGUCGAGGCUCGGAUCGAUCGAUCCCAUGUGUGGAUCGAUCGAUCCAGAUAUGCUGAAUCAAUUGGUCUUGGACGAAUGAGGGUUGGAUCGAUCGAUCCCCUCCUGGGAUCGAUCGAUCUCGAGCGACUGGAACUUUUGGCUUCAUCGUCACAAUUGGGAUCGAUCGAUCCACGCCUUGGAUCGAUCGAUCCCCAGCUCCUGGUGAUCUCUUGUACCGUUUCUCCAUUGUUUUAGCUCCGAAUAGGCUCAAUCAUGCACAAGAUGCUCCGAAUCCAGCUCGAGCACCUAUAGCCUGCAAAGGACUCAAGACACAACCGAAAAGACGCAAAAGACGGACUUUGACACGAUAGAUGACUCAAAACAUGGACUAAACCAAGACUCGAAACCGUUAAAAACGCAACACAUCAUCGAGGCUGACCGGAUCAGCCGAUCGGGUAUAUCAAAAAAAAAAAAAAAAAAAAUGAUUCAUGCAUGUCAGUCCUUUAACUUUUUAUUUGAUAAAAGAUUUUCAAUUGAAAUAGCAAAAGAAUAAAAAUAUUACUGAUAGCCUGUAGGCCCACUUCUAAUGAAAGCCUAUUAAAACAUAAUUUUGAACCAAUCAUAAUAAUAGUUUAAUGGGUACGAAGCCCAGAAAAGUGUUAGCCCAUAGCAGUUUUAUUUGCCUUGAUUAGGCAGAGCAACAUUCUUCAGCAUUCUUAAUCAUCCAAUUGGCUCUUGGGGUCUAAUGUUGGCACCAUUGUUGGAGUACGAGCACCAAUGAACAUUUUUUUGGGGGUUUCUUGACUCCCUAAAGGAAGAAACGCUAUUUUUCUCAUCGUUGAAUCAAUUUCGUCGAAUUGAUUCUGUAUUGAUGAAGUCAGUUGUUCCAUAGAGACUCUAAAUAGAAUACCCGUUAAGUCAUUAACACGAUUCAAAUGCGUUUGCAUAUAUAUAAUUAUUUUGCUAAAAAUGUAAAUAUUUCACAAAUAAUGAAAAAAUUUAGGAAGUACAAUAAAGUAAAACCUACAAAUUGGUCGCAUGGCAAAAAAAAAUGGAUACAAAAACAUGGAAGCAAAGAACAUUCAAUCUAUUGACAUCGAAAAUGCAGUGACGCUUUCGGAGUCAAUGAAGUGAUAAGCAAUUUUAAAGAUUCUCCUACAUGAAGCCAGGGAGAAGAUACAUUUUGUCAAACGACAAAGACCAGAUCAUAGAACUGAGCUUUCUCAGAGCGAAACCACACAAACCAAAAGAAAACGAAAACAUUAGCUCAUUCUACCAAGCCCUUUCCCCGAGGUUGGCUAGCACAUUGCAAAUGCAACAAUACGACCAAACGCUAAACAAUCCUAAGGUCUUACUAGAAAAUGGUUCAACGCCUCUCUAAAUCUUUCGCCAUAUAAUUGUAGAAUGCAUCUAUUGAUUUUCACAUCGAGAUCUUCUGCUUUUAGCUAUUUUCCCCCUCUCAUUAUAUAUAUUCUCAAAACGCUCCAUUGCAUGUGGUCUUGAACAUUACAUAAGUAGUUCAAGUUGAUACAUGUUGUCUUCCAACCUUUACAUUUCUUAUUCUCGGGGGCAUCACUUUAUGUAAAAAUGUGUUGCCAUUAACUUUCCUUAUAGCAUAUUCAUCGUUAAGGUAUGUCUCCGAUACCGGAGUCUUUUCUCCCUUUAGGAUCAAUGAAUAGCUAGGCGUCACAAACUUAGCCGGUCUCGGCUCCGUCUUCUUCUUUUCUUGUCCCAUUGUAUUUAUCACACUUCCACAAAUACCAGUUUUGAUCUGUGAAAAACAACACAUCAUAAUCAUUAAUCAUUAUCAUUGAUUCUACAUUCAACAUCAAGCAUCAUCAUCAUCAUCAAUCAUUGAAAUAAAACAUAUUUUGAUGAAGUGGAAUAACAAAAUCUAAACAUAGAACUCUACAUUAGUUUCAGUCAAUUCACAGAAUAUAAAAUAGUUAGCCCAAAAGUCUGUAAACAAGCAAAUUGAACAAAACUCCAUUUCAAUUUUGUAGAUUAACGAGAUUUGAACAUAGAACACUAGUUCGAUUAUGUAGAUUAACAAGAUUUGAACAUAGAACACUAGACUCCGAAGCAGGCAUUGAUGAAACUUAAAUAUUUUUUUUUAAUAUAUAAAAUGUUGUAUUAGAAGGUAUAGUAUAAGUUUUAUGGUUGAUGGAAGUUUAUGUCUAAGUACACUGCAAAUACGAGAUCUAGUUUUAGAAGGUAUUAGUCUAAGUGCAUAACUUGGGCCUUGGGGAUUCAUGUAAGAACAUGAAAUCUAUGUAUGAAAGUUAGGACCGUUAUAAUAUGGUUAUAUGGUUAGGACUUAGGAGUUAGGAUCAAUAUAAUACUUAUUCUAAUUUAGGCCCGUCCAUAGAUUGAACGGAUCAAACCUAAAACGAUAUCAUUUUACAUAAGAGUUUUAUUUUGCCAAAAACAAUUUUGUGUUGGACAUUUCUUCUUCUGUCAAGGAACGACGAUGAGCUUAUUGAAGAAGUCAAUCUUCAGUUCAUUAAUAGACCAUCUCCAUCGGUGGAGAUCGGGUCUUAUAACUUUUUAUUUAUAUUUUAAAUACUUUGUUUUUAUAUUUAAGUUUUAAAUUAUAAUAAAGUUUAAUCCAAUCUUAAAAGUUAAAAUGACAGCUAGAAGUUUUUGAGUGUAUAUUAGAAGACCAUCUAUCUUCUCUUAUUUUCUUUUGUAUUUAUUUAUAAUUUUUUUUAAGACAUCCUCCAUAGCACUGAACAAUGGAGGUGCUCUUAUUAUUUGUCACAGCCCUAGGUCCGGUUAGACCAAUUGUUAUUUGUCACAGCCCUAGGUCCUUUUCUCUCAAUCUAGAAGAUAACCAAGUUUGAGCUUUUUAGUUAUUGAAGUAGAGGAAGUCGUCGAAUCAAGGGUGAGAUUGAUUUGGUGUGACAGAUUCGUUUAUCGCUCGAUUGGUUUUUCUGUUUGAAUAAAAUAUGUGGAUGCAAAUGCAUGCAUUUUCCCAAUUUAGUACUAACAUCUAGAUAAUGCAUUGGAUGCAAAAUCAAUUGCAUCUCAAAUCAUCUUGAUAUUUUGGAUGGAAAAGUAGAAUUUAGAUGUAAAUUUUGCAUCCAGACAAUAGAAAAUACGGUAAUUUAUUCAGUGAAAUCAAAUAAGAUACAAGACAUGAUACAUCCACAAUACAACAAAGAUAAAUAUAAGCAAAUUUAAAUAAACAUCAACAAAUAUAUAAUUAAUAAUUAUAAAAAGUGAUGAAUGAGCAAAUUUUUAUGAUUCUUUCUAUACCAAAAUUUAUUCGCUAAAAAAUAAUUAAAUGUUUCUUUUUUGUUUUCUCCAAAGUCAAUCUAGUUUAAUGAAAUAGUCAGAAAAUGCCAACAUAUCUUUAAAUUAUCAAAUUUAUGAUUUAAUGCAAAAAUUAGGAAAUCAUAUUUUUCUAUUAAAACUAUAAAUAUUAAAAAACUAAAAAAAUAUAUAUAUAUUUGAAUAUUUAUGUUGGUCAACGCCGGUCAAACUGGUCAAUGCCGGAUUCCGGUGAAAAGUGUACUGGAAAAAAAAUGUUUGUGAUGUUGGCGACAUGACUACAUAUAGUGCGUAUAUGUGGGCAUGCGAUACAUAUAAUUUGUGUAGUUAGGGAUAAAUUUUUAAACUUCGGAUGUGUGACCAUGUAUUGUAGCAUACUUUAUGUAGCUAGGUAUCUUUUUUCCUUUUAAAUAUUAUUGUGUUAAAAACAUGUAAUAUGAGAAUUUAAAUAUAGUAACAUUUAUAACGAAACCUUCAAAAUAGGAGAAUUAGAAAAUAAACAAAACAAAAUUAGAAAGUUGUCAAAAGAAUGUUGUUCUGCAUCAACAUCAAAUAGUCAUUAAGUCCUAAGAAAAGGAUAUAGCUCAUAACUAAGAUUACAGGCUGUACCCAAAACUCUCGCUCCUUGUUUACCGUCGCAACACUUAGAAAGAUGGCUGAUACUCCAUUCCAAACAAGACGUACACUGCACCAUUGCAUACAGUUUAUUCGUCCCGAUUCUCUUCUCUCCUGCCGCAUAAUAUAACAACUCGAUGUCAUCCUUGUCGGCUUUAUCAGCUUUCGCAAUCAGCUGUUGGAAAAAAUCAUUUGUCUUCUUGUUAAACAACUUUGUAUCCCCUCUCACAUUGUUUGGGUUGUGCAUAGGGAAAGUAUUCUUGUAAUUGACUUUCCUUGGGGCUCCUUCAUUGAUCAUACUAAUAUCGAGAAAACAUUGAUCGUACCAUAUUAUCCCUCCUUUGUUUCUUGGACAUCUCUUACGAAACUGUCAAAUACAUAUACAUACAUGUCCUGGUUUACUUCAAAUGAUGAUUUAAUUUUUUUAAUUUUUCAAUGCAAAUAUAUGGUUUUUAUUUACUAAUUAUUUUACAACAAUUGAUUGAAAAAUGUUUUACAAUUUUUCUUAUGUACAAAACGAACAUAUAGUAUCUCUAUGUCUUUAUUAAUACUUUAAUAUUUUCGUUGUAAAAUUAUCUUUUUUUUUGUAAAUAUUUAUUUGUAAUUUUUAUAUUUAUAUUAACUAAUGUGGCGAAUGGCUCAUGUAUAUAAAAAAAUAUACAAAUAUAUUAUUACAAAUAUAUUGUAUUUAGCAUUUAUUAGUGAAAAGAAAUUUAGCAAAUAAAGUUUUUUAAUUGAAAUUAUGGUUAAAAACUUAAAAUUUUCAUAUGGUUCUCCUUCAAACAAUUAGAAAAAUAUAAACCGAUAAACCAUAACUUUUUUCUAGAAUUCCAACAUCUUUUGAUUUUGGUUUUGAUGACAUGGUUUUAGUUCGUGAAACAACUUACAUAUAAUGUUGUUUUCACAUGACAUUAUGUAUCAUUGCUAAAACAAACCAUAAAACUAAUUUGAAAAGCGUUUCACGUAUAUGUUCUUAAAUAUUGUAUUUCAUAAUAGGAUUUAAAUUUCAAAAAAGCGCCAUAAUUGAAAAAUAAUAAAUAUAGAUAGUUGGUUAAAAUAGUAAAUAAUUUCAAUAAAACAGAAAUCUUAACUGUGUCUGAAGAUUUAAUACAGAAUAACAAAAUGGUAGCAACGCUAAAACCGAUAAACCAUAACUUUUUUCUAGAAUUCCAACACCUUUUGAUUUUGGUUUUGAUUGCAUGAUUUUUUGUUCGUGAAACAACUUACAUAUAAUGUUGUUUUCACAUGACAUUAUGUAUCAUUGCUAAAACAAACCAUAGAACUAAAUGGUUUUCCUAUCUUAAACUACAUAUGUUCAUCAUUUGGUUGAGUACCCAAUUUUUGGUCCUUUUGAUGGGGAAACUAAAAUACUUUUAAAGACUAAUAUAAAUUUUGUUAUUUAGUUUUCCUAUGUUAAACUACAUAUGUUCAUCAUUUGGUUGAGUACCCAAUUUUGGUCCUUUUGACGGGGAAAUUAAAAUACUUUUAAAGACUAAUAUAAAUUUUAGCAACUUAAUUAAUUAGGCAUGCUAAACAAUAUUUGCCAACUUCAUCAUGAAAAAAAAAAGUAGAAACUGAAGGUAAAGAAGAUAUACAUUAUUUGUAUCUCAUCUAAAAGUGAGAAGGUAUAAGGUUUAAUUAGUAUAAUACUUAAUUUUGUCAUGGGACUUAUGAGUUACAUUUCAAAUAAUAAAUAUACCAUAAAUUGUAUGGCAAUUAAUUUUGUCAAACACAGUGGGAGUUACAUUUUUCAGAAUUAAUAUGCAAUAAAUUGUGAUUAGGAUUAUUAUCAUAUUUUUAAUACUUUAAAUUAUUUUAAAAUAAAAUGAAUUGAAUAAAUAUUGUUUGAGUAAAUUUCACUUAUUACAAAUAUUGAUAACCAAAAUGUUAUUAGGAGAUAUAUUGUCAAAAAAAUAAAUUUUUACUUCAAUUACAAAGAAAACCAUCAUAUUAAAUCAUAUAAAUAUUACUUCUUAAAUUAUAUGUAAAUUAAAUGAAGUUAAAUUAAAAUAUAGAAGAUAUUGUAAUAUUUAUUACAAAUAUUGAUAACCAAAAUAUUAUUAUGAGAUAUAUUGUCAAAAAACAUAAAUUUUUACUUCAAUUACAAAGAAAACCAUUAUAUUAAAUCAUAUUAAUAUUACUUCUUUUAAGAUUUUGAAAAAGAAAAUAAAUUUUUUUGUGAAGAAAAGAAAAGUAAUUUUCGUUUUGUUUUAGUUUAACAUAAUAUAUUCUUAGGAGAAAUAAUUAUUAUGCAUUUAUUUUUGGAGGAAUUAAUGUUUAGAUAAAAGUAAUUUUCGUUUCUCAUAAUAUGUCAUUAGGAGAAAAGUGACACAUGUCAACUUCUUAGAGACUCUCACCAAGAGAAACCUUAAAAUAUUAGUAUAUAAGAAGUUCGUUCCCCCAAGGCCCCAAGCAAUCUUAACGUUUCAAUAUAAGAUAAGAUAAUACUUUUGUUUUUUCACCGAACGAGAGUAUCUAUUUAAUUCUUCUUAACAAUUAUGAUAAUUUUUAUCAGUUGAUGCAUUGUUACCCGGCUCAAAUUUCUGUCAGCUACUUGUUAACUCUAAUCUGAGUUUUUGUUUCCAAUGAUCAUUUCUAUUUUGGCGAUAAUGUGAUGUUAUACACCGCACCACAAGUUAUAGAUCAUAUAUGCAAAAAUGUUAAAGUAGCAUUACCCCGGCGAGUGCGGUGGCAUAGCAGGAGUUGCACUUGGACCUGUAAGAGUCACCCCGACAUUGGAAUAUGACGGUAGCGGAAUUGGUACCGUCUUUAAUUGCGCUGUGUACGAACCCGUUUACAAAUUUUUCGGUAGCGACAUUACCGGUGAUAGAGUUGAGGUCUUUCUCGUACUCACUUCCUGGCUGGUAUUUUCCUUGUUCAACCCGACAUUUGUGGUUCAGAUACUCAUUAGUAAUAUUCAGGGAUGAAACGCUGCGUAUGAGGAGUUGUAUAGCCAAGAUAUGGAAAGAAACGAGAGACAUUUGGAUAGAGAGAAUGAAGAGUACAUUGUUUUCUUGAUUAUUAAGGGUUUGGAUUAAGAUGUUUAUAGAAGAUCACUCAGAAGGAUUUUAGCUAUUUGUCACAUUAGUAACUGGAUUAACUGUUUAUCUCAAAAAGAUAUUCUCUCUUUCGGUUUCUUUAUAAAAAGUUACUAGGUAAUAACCUGCACAUAGUGCAGGAUAAAUCUAUAUAGAUAAAAUUAGUGUUAUGAGUAAAGUUAUUUUUGAGGAUCUAAAAUUUGUUUGUGUAAAAACGAAAUAUAUAAUCCGUGAGAAUAUGUUUAGAUCAAACUAUUAUGUACCAACUAAAUAUAUAAUCCGCUAUUUCUUCAAUCUAAGCAAAUUUUUUUUUUUUUUAUUAUUUUUUUUUUGUGUAAGAAUAUGUUUCACCUGUGAAAUAUUAUAUCAAUGAUAUUAAAUAGGGAGACUCACAAAAAUGCCCCUUUUUCAAUACCCCUUUUCAAAAAUGCCCCUUUUGGAUGUCCAUUUUUAAAAAUACCCCUUUUAUGUACAAAAUGACUAAAUUACCCUUCUUUUAAUAAAAGAUAUCAUAAAUAUAUAAGGAAAUAUAACAAAAUUAGGUCCACAAAAUACAAAAUCUUUUUUGGCGGGAAAAGUGAUCCCCCAAUUUUUCCCGCCAAAACACUUGUAAAAAUUUGUAAAACCUUUAAAAUACCUUGUAAAAUUUUUUCCCGCCAAAAAUUUUUUUUUGCGGAAAAAGUGAUUCCGCAAAUUUUUUGGCGUUAAAUUUUUGGCGGGAAAAUUUUACAAGGUAUUUUAAAGGGUUUUUACAGGGUAUUUAUAAAGUUUUACAAUGUAUUUUAAAAGGUUUUACAACGUAUUUAUAAAGUAUUUAUAAGAUAUUAUAAGAUUUUACAAGCUAUUUUAUAAGGUUUUACAAGUUAUAAGGUUUUACAAGUUUUUUAUAAGAUUUUACAAGUUAUAAAUACCUUAUAAAACCUUAUAAGUACCUUGUAAAACCUUUUAAAAUACAUUGUAAAACCUUACAAAACAUUUGUAAAUACUCCGUAAAACCUUUAAAAUACCUUGUAAAUUUUUCCCGCCAAAAAAAUUUCGGCAAAAAAAUUGCGGAAUCACUUUUCCCGCAAAAAAAAAUUUUUGGCGGGAAAAUUUUUUGGCGGGAAAAAUUUUUACGGGAAAAUUUUACAAGGUAUUUUAAAGGUUUUUACAAGUGUUUUGGCGGGAAAAUUGCGGGAUCACUUUUCCCGCCAAAAAAUAUUUUGUAUUUUGUGGACCUAAUUUUGUUUCAAAUAAGGGUAAAAUGGUCAUUAAAAAUUAAAAGAGGGCAAACUUAAAAAUGGACUCUCAAAAGGGGCAUUUUUGAAAAGGGGUAUUGAAAAAGGGGCAUUUUUAACAAUUUCUCUAUUAAAUAAGUCAAUUUCCUAUAGUAAUGAUUAUUAUGAUGGUUUUUUUGGAAAAUUUAAAUAUGUGAAUAGUAAUCAAUUUUUUUUAAUAGGUGAAUAAAUUCAGAUUUUGAAAAUGUUUUAGAUCUAAUAAUGUUAUAAUCAUUAAAUCUGUUAUAAAAAUGAUUAAAAUAUAUUUUAAAAUUGAAAUGUUGGAUUUUUUUAAUUAAUUGAAAAGAAAUAUUCUUUAAUCAUUCAAUAGCAAUUAUGUACAAAUAUCUAUAAAAAUGAGGGCAAUAAAUNNNNNNNNNNNNNNNNNNNNNNNNNNNNNNNNNNNNNNNNNNNNNNNNNNNNNNNNNNNNNNNNNNNNNNNNNNNNNNNNNNNNNNNNNNNNNNNNNNNNAAAAAAAGGCCGGGGCACGGUUGCCCCCAGACGGCAGGUGCAGCUGCCAGGCCCUCGCCAAAGCGCUGAUCUCAAAGCCAAUAAAUUCGAAUCCUCUAACGACGACACAUCAGCAUUUUCUUGAGAAUGCUUCUCUAAUAAUAUAUAGGGGAUGUUUGAUCAUUUCAGUUUGUAGAAGAAAUGUUUUUUUUUUUUUGGUCUGUAACAGAUAGGAGAGAGGGGUCGGGUAUUUUUCGGCGAAGGGUGAGGAUGGCCAAUGGAAAAGUCAAAGUUUAAAUGUUGUACUAAGUUAAAAUUCUUAGAAAAUAGAAUCACCACAAGUUUUGAUAAAGUUUAAAUGCUCUAUUAUUUAUGGUCUAAAGUAGUUUUAAGGGAAAAGUGCAUGUAAUGUAAACAAAGUUUUUUUGAUUGAUUUAUAUUCAUAAUAAAAAAAAGAACUAGAUAGUAACCCGCAGUGUACCGCGGGAUAAUUUUGGCGUUUACGGUUUAUAAGUUUAGACGUCUUUUUUUAUUUGAUAUUAGGUAAAUUAGUGUAUAGUUUAGUAUAUGAUUUCCCAUUAGCAUGUUAUGUUAGUAUAUUGUAUUUGUCUUAGAGAUUAUAAAUAAUUUGUUUUGGGUUCUACAGAUUUAUAUAAAAAUAUAUGAUAAUGUUAUACUUUUUGUUGUGAUUUGUUAUAUAAUUCCAUGAGAGAAUAUAAUUAUUGUUUUUAUUUUCAAAAAGUUAUUAUAAAACUGUAUAUCAUUUUCAUAAGAUUAGUAAUUUAUAUAAAUAAAUUAUGUAAAUCAUUCAAUUUUUGUUGUAGGCCAAAAAAGGUUGAGCUGCUAAUAACAAUUUGGAACAGCAAAUAUUGACGAAGCCCAUUUGAUUUAUGAGUUAUUUACCUUCAAACACACUUUUUCAAAAGUGUUUUCAAUAUGAGACACUUUGUGAUAUCAACCCACUUUCUUUUGGAGUCUUUUACUCUUUUACCCUCUAAUCAUAUUCUUUACUCUAAUAUUCUUCAUCCUCUCUUCUCACAUUCAUUUCUUUUGUUUCUCUCUCCCCGUAUCCUCUCAUUCUUUAUCCCUCUCUUCCCUUUUCUCUUUCUUUCCAAAUUCUAAUCCAUCAAUUUAAUUUCAGAUUCGCUUUUCUUUUUUUAACUGUGUUUUUUACAUCCAAGAAUGGAAAAAAAGAAAAUUCUCCACUUCCUCUAAAUUUGGUCUUUCUGAUUGUGGAACUUGUGGUCGUGUGUGUGUUUAUCUACUAGUCUUUCAUCGAUUUGAUCUUUGAAAUCAGACGUGGAUAGAGGCCCUAAUCCCAUAUGUCUCCCUUCUCAUGAGCAAUCCAUCUCCAGAUUCAUAUAACUAUAUUUCUCUAUCUCUUAAUUUUCGAUAUAAUUCUUUUGGAACCUUAAUUCAUUGUUUUCUUUUCUAAACUAGAGUUUGGUAGAAUGAGUAAUGUGAAAUUUUGUGGUUUUUGGGUGUUUUGCUGUUGUAGUUUCAAUUCAAAUUCAAUCUUUUUGGGUCCAAAUGUGUCUAACUAAAUGAAUCAGUCCAUUUGUGAACGAAACAAUCAAGUAAUGCUCGUUGAUUUGAUGAAGAGUCAAAAAGUGAAUUUGGUGAGAUUAGAUCAGUUAUUUAGAACUUUCUUGUGUCCAUUUAGCAGCGAACACAUGUACGAAGCAAAGUCGUCCAUCUCAACUGGAACAUCUACGUGAAUUGUUGAGAGUCACGACUUUUAAAAGUUGAAGUUUCAUGGUCGGAUUGAUUGGCUUGCAGGUUUUGAAUCAAGAUUGUUGACGAAGAUUUUGUGUCCAUUUAGUAGCGAACAAGGAGUUAAAGUAAGUCGAUUUGCAAUGGAUGCGAUACCGUGGUUGAGAUGCGGUGGCUACGAUGCGGUGACUAUGACGCGGUGGUUACGAUGCAACUUCAAACACAAUAGUUGCAAACAGAGACUUUGUGUUGACGAUUAUCUUUCAUAUAUAAAGUUGUGAAUUGAUAUAAAAAUCAUGUGUAUGAUUAUAAAAGGAUGAAAAAAAUUAUGUGUGAUAAUAUAGGAUUUAGGGUUUAGGUUUUAGUAUGCUGAAGUUUCACUUACCCUUAGAGAAAAUCAAUCAAAUAGUAAAAUGGUCAAAUGGUCGUGGACAUUGUAUAUAAAAACUUGAGAUAUAUUAAUGUUAACCAUGUGUUCAAUGUUGAAUGGUUAGAUAAACAAAAAAAUAUGUCUAAUAAUAAAAUAUGAACAAUAGACAUUUGAUCAGAGUUUAACGGAUGUAUAGUUUAUCGAGAAACUUUAGUCUUAUUCAUCUAUGUGAUCAGAGUUUAGCUGAUAUGUUUGGAUGAUCGGUAGUUAUAAAUGUUGGUGUAAUAUGUUUGUUCAAAUAUCUAUAGAUAUUGUCUGUUUGGAUGAGUUUGUAUGUGUGUCUGUUUACAAAAACAGAAUUCAUAUGUUCAAAUGUUCGAAGGCGUUUUAUAUUAUGCUUGAGAUAAAUUAAUGUUAACCAUGUGUUCAGUGUUGG
Molecule: long non-coding RNA, 45842 nt
Filed under: Arabidopsis lyrata
Lineage: Eukaryota; Viridiplantae; Streptophyta; Magnoliopsida; Brassicales; Brassicaceae
Description: long non-coding RNA (ALYR_LNC002385)
Rfam family: Plant small nucleolar RNA R71 (bases 32917-33023)
Source: RNAcentral